This 54118-nucleotide long non-coding RNA is filed under the name Malus domestica (apple). Its description in RNAcentral is "long non-coding RNA (MDOM_LNC007372)". Lineage: Eukaryota; Viridiplantae; Streptophyta; Magnoliopsida; Rosales; Rosaceae. The record is from RNAcentral.
UUUUUUGGUUAGGUGUGGAAUUAUAUUUCAAGUUACGACUUGUAUAUGGAUCUAGAUCAUAUAUACCCAACUUAUUAAUUCUACCAGUAAAGCAUCAACCCCCAUUAACAAUUCGUACUGGGUGAUGAUAUCCACACUCAUUUUUACAUCUCACGCACUCUUUGUUAAUUAAUAUUCUUUGAUCUUCUCUAGUUUAUUUGACCCAAUAACCAAAAUUAAAAAUGGUGUGUGGAAGAUAAAAAGGAGUGUGUAGAUAGCACCACUUUUGGAGUAGCUUUAACUUAGAUGCCAAUCGACUGGUCAGGUAAGAAGGCACCUCAGAUAUUCUAUGGGCAGCAACAAUAUUUGUAUCUGAAACAAGAAGAACGUCAUCCGAAUAGUUCAAAUUUGGAAGUUCUAGGAUUCUAACUUCUAUAUAUGAUAAUUUGAAGUAGAAUCACAUUCUUUCUCUUCGUACAAGUUUUGCUAUGAUAAAUAAAACGAACGAUUCUUUUACACAAAAGAUUCGACCUUCUUUUUGGUUGAAAUAUUCGACCUUAUUCUCUGUCAAAUUCUUAAUGGAUGAGAAAAAGAAAUAUAAUUUUAACGAAAAGCUCCCAAUACCAUUUAUUAUAACGAAAAACCAUAUUUUUACACUAAAAAGUCAAUCCUGGUACUAUUCAUUUUACCCUUUAUUUUGUCUUUAUCGUUAAAACUCAAAGUUUCCAAACCCUUUUCAUUAGUUUUCCUAAAAAGAAAAAGGCUGCCUAUUUAAAUAAGGAAGUUUUAACGAAACACUUAUGGUACUGUUCACAUUUAACGAAAACGACAUUUUUACUCUAAAAAACCAUUCCUGUUACUAUUCACUUACAAUACCUAUUUGUUAUUUUGAUUAAAACUCAAAGUUUUUAAACCAUUUUCAUUAGUUUUCCUUUUAAAUAAUGGGUUACCCUACUCUUGUUAAUUCUCGAGUGCUCAAAGUUUAUCUUCAAAAUAAAACUUUGACAAUAUACUGAGACAGUAAUCAAGGCUCUCAUGCAUGUAUUGAAAUUUACUAAGACAAUCUCCAAAGGAGAUGUCAAAUCCUAAAUGUAAAGUCAUGUAAUCAAAUUUGAAAGCAGGAGCAAAGACCAACCGAUAUGUCAAUCCUAAGUGAAAAGGUAAUGUCAAAUAAUUUUUAAUUAUUUUAUUAUAUGGAUCCCAUUAAUGCACCAAUUAUAAAUCUUGAAAAUUUAUUUUAAUUGUUGUAGGCCUAUUUAAUUGAGCGAUCUAAGGUUUAGAGAGAGAAAGGGAGGCCAACCACUUUAGAGAGAAGAGAGAUUGAUUUAAUUGUGAUGUGUGUUUGAUUCACCCCAUUGUGCCUUUAUUUAUAGUAGUUAGAAGGGUAAAUACCUUUCCCUUUAUGAUUACAACAUUUAAUAGGUAAUCAAAUCCUAAUAGGAAUAUAAUAGUUUCCCAUAUUCUCUAGAAUUUACACAAUCACAUUCCUAUUCUAAAUAGAACUGCAACACUCUCCCUUGAGUGUGUAAAUACUCAACAAACCAUCGCAUCAGAUCUUCAGCAGAGAAGGUAGAAUAGUUGAUGAAGUCAUCGGCACAACGGGUCAUCGCGAGUCUCAAAUUUAAUUUGAAGUAUGCAUUUGUAAAAACUCACAAAACCUUGCUAUGGUAAAACCCAUAGACUAAGGAGAAAAGUAAGAAAAUAUGCAUAAUGUCUAAAACAAUCGUCAAACUGGACGAAUGUAGUGAACUCAACGGAGUAUGAUCAUCCCAGAAUGGGUGCCUCGUUAAAACCUAGUUAGGUAGCAAAAACCCAAUGGGAAAAAUAAGAGAACUACAAGUGAUUUAAUUAUGAUAAUUUACGCAUACCGAUUCCUUGGACGAGCUUCUGAAAUGUAGACUUGGGCAAUGACUUGGUGAAGAGAUCGGCCAGGUUGUCUUGGGAACGGAUUUGCUUGACUUCAAUGUUUUGAUGCUGUUGCUGCUGGUGUGAGUAAAAGAACUUUGGCGCUAUGUGCUUGGUGUUGUCUCCCUUGAUGUAUCCCUUCUUUAACUGCUCGAUACAUGCUGCAUUGUCUUCAAAGAUCGUCGUAGGAAGGUCAACGACUAAUGUAAGACCAUUAGUGCUUCGAAUGUGUCCCAUCACUUUUCUCAGCCAAAAGCAUUCACGCGAUGCUUCAUGUAGGGCGAGAAUCUCAGCAUGGUUAGACGAAGUCGUAACUAGCGUUUGCUUGGUAGACCUCCAAGAAAUAGCGGUGUUUCCAACAGUAAAGACAUAACCCGUUUGAGAACGUGCUCUAUGUGGGUCAGACAGAUAUCCAGCAUUUGCGUAACCAACAAGGCGAGAAUCAAUCCUAGAUCCAUAGGGGGCGACAACACUAAGAGAUUUGUGGGUAUAGAACAAGCCCAAAUCCGUAGUACCCUUGAGGUAGCGGAAAAUGUCUUUGACACCAUUCCAGUGCCUGCGUGUAGGCGCAUUGCUGUAUCUAGCCAAUAGAUUCACAGCGAAGGAGAUGUCGGGUCUAGUGCACUGAGCCAAGUACAAUAAAGCACCAAUUGCACUUAGGUAAGGAACUUCGGGUUCCAAAAUCUCUUCUUCAUCCUCCUUUGGACGGAAGGGAUCCCGUUUAGCAUCUAGAGUCCGAACGAUCAUGGGUGUGCUCAAAGGCUUAGCUUUAUCCUCAUUAAAGCGACGUAACACCUUUUGGGUGUAGUUCGAUUGAUGUACUAAGAUUCCAUUUGAACAAUGCUCGAUCUCAAGGCCGAGGCAAUAUCGAGUUUUCCCAAGAUCCUUCAUCUUAAAUUUCGAUUUCAAGUGUGCAGCAAUUUCCUUAAGCUCUUCGGGAGUACCAAUGAGGUUCAUGUCAUCGACAUAAACUGCAACAAUUGCAAAUCCGGAAUGUGACUUUUUUAUGAACACGCAUGGGCAUAGUUCGUUGUUCACAUAGCCCUAACUUGUCAAAUAUUCACUCAGACGGUUAUACCAUAUCCGCCCGGAUUGUUUCAAUUUGUAGAGUGACCUCUUCAACCUAAUUGAGAGAGUGUUCCGUGGUCUAGAACUAUUUGAACCAGUCAAUGGAAGUCCUUCUGGAACUUUCAUGUAUAUUUCCGUAUCUAGAUCCCUAUAGAGAUACGCGGUUACCACGUCCAUAAGCUGCAUAUUCAGUUUUUCGGAAACUACCAAACUGAUAAGGUAGCGGAACGUUAUAAUGUCCAUUACGGGGGAAUAUGUCUCCUCGUAAUCAAUUCCAGGGUGUUGAGAAAAGCCUUGCGCUACGAGGUGUGCUUUGUAUCGCACUAUUUCAUUCUUCUCAUUACGCUUCCUCACGAAAACCCAUUUGUAGCCAACAAGCUUCACGAGUGGUGGUGUAGGGACGACAGGUCCAAACACUUUACGUUUCACGAGCGAAUCAAGUUUGACCUAGAUUGCUUGUUUCCAGUUUGACCAAUCGGUUCUACGUCAACAUUCAUCGACGAAACGUGGUUCAAUGUCAUCGCUAAGCAUGAUGUCAGUAGCUACUGAGUACGAGAAUGCGUCGUCGACGAUUAUCUCAUUCCUAUUCCAAACCUCAUCCAAUACUGUGUAAUGGACCAAAAUUUCGCGAUUCUCAGGAGGCCGGCAUGUUUCAUCUGAAGCAUCACCGUAAUCUAGAAUAACUUCAUGCGUUGGAACGGAUGAGUCAGCGAUGGUCGGAUUCAAACUAGGGUCACUAGUUAGUGCCAUUUUCCUCUUCCGGGGUUAUGAAUCCUUUGAACCAGAGGGUCUACCACGCUUCAGGGUCAGAGCAGAUGAUUUGCUAGUUGCUAAUGUACCAUGCCGUGUGGAGGGUGUGGCUUUCCCACCUUCGGGGACGGCUUGGCCUUCCCAGACGGGCUGUUGAUGUACACAGGGUACAUCUAUCCUUGCUGGUGUGUUUGCAGCAGGUAUAUGUGAUAUUGUCACCUUUGCUAGAUCUUUAAAAGCAUCCGGCAUGCUUUGACCAAUGCUCUAAAGAUCUAUAAUUCGUCGCACCUCAGUUUCAGACUGAGCAGUGCGGGGAUCUAAAUGAGACAUAGUGGGAGCAUACCACGAUAAUUCGUGGCGUUCUACAGGAACGUUAGCAUGCUUAUCUCCCCCUAACGACGGGAAGACUGUCUCAUCAAAGUGACAAUCUGCAAAACGUGCGGUAAAGAGAUCUCAUGUCAAGGGUUCAAGUAUUGAACAAUUGAUGGCGAAUCAUAACUGACAUAGAUUCCCAUUUUUCUUUGAGGACCCAUUUUGGUACGUAGCGGCGGUGCUAUUGGCACAUAAAUGGCGCACCCAAACACCUGUAAAUGCGAGAUGUCAUGCUCGUAUCCAGUGACCAACUGUAAUGGUGAAUGUGGUUGGGUAGCAAUGGGCCUCAGGCGGACCAACAUAGCUGCAUGCAAUAUUGCAUAGCCCUAGGCAGAUACCGGCAGUUUGGUUCUCAUAACCAAAGGCCGAGCUAUCAAUUGAAGGCGCUUUAUGAAAGCUUCUGCCAUGCCGUUUUGGGUGUGAACAUGGGGCACAAGAUGUUCUACAUUAAUCCCUACUGACAUGCAAUAAUUGUCAAAAGUCUAUGACGUAAACUCUCCAGCAUUAUCCAGUCGAAUCGACUUAAUCGGAUAAUCAGGGUGGUGAUCCCUUAGCUUAAUGAUUUGAGCUAGGAGUUUAGCAAACGAGGCAUUGCGUGUGGACAACAAGCAAACAUGUGACCAUCUUGUCGAUGCAUCAACCAACACCAUAAAGUAUCUAAAUGGUCCGCAGGUUGGUUGGAUAGGUCCACAAAUGUCCCCUUGAAUCCUUUGAAGAAAUUUAGGAGGGUUUUGAUUAAUCUUUGUAUGGUAGGGUUGAGUAUUCAACUUCUCUAAAGAACACGCUAUGCAUGGCGGGACUCCAACGUGUGGAUGUAACUUAUGCACGUGUGAAGAUUUAAGGAUACGGCGCAUCAUGUCACGUCCAGGAUGUCCCAAACGGUCAUGCCAAAGCAACAAAGUGUCCUGGAACUCAGGCAUAGAGCCGGCCACACUGUGGGCCUCUAUGCUGCGAAUGGUUGUGAUGUACAACCCACUCGGCAGACUUUCCAACUUCUCGUGAAUAUGCUUUUGGCCAUAUUCGUAUGAAGUGAUACAAAGAAAUUCAGAACCAUGAUCUUCAGUGGUUUCAAGAUGAUAUUUAUUAUCUCGAAUAUCUCUAAAACUCAGCAACGUUCUUCCUGAACGUGGAGAAUAGAGUGCCUCCUUAAUGGUCAAGAUUGUACCAUUAGACAACAUGAUACGUGCCUUUCCGUAUCUUUCAAUCAGUUGGAUGAGCCUGAGAGAGUUGUCAAAUGAGCUUUCUUGGGUAUGAAGUUAGUAAAAUAGUGUCGUUCACGCAAAAUGGUGUGCGUUGUUGCACUAUCUGCCAGACAACUAACUUCCCCACUAGACAUACCUAGAAAUAAAUUGAUUGAAUUGGUCACAUGCAUAAAUAUAAGUCCACUCAUUCAAUUAAGCAAUUCGAGAAAAUAAUAUCCAUUCCAAUAACAAUCCAUAAUUCAAAACAAACCAAAACCAAACAAAUGAUUCCAAAUACAUAGAAAAAUUGUUCAAAAUUAAACCAUAAACCUAGCAAAAUAGGGGGUAGGGGCCGGCCACUCCUAGUGGGUUCGGCCACUAGGGGCUAAUGCCCUAAAACAUGUCUAAUUUAGUCUUCCAUAGGUGCUGAUGCCUCCUGGAAGUCUGAUAUCUCCAUUGAUGUGGUUGCAUCGUCCGGACGAUCCACAUGUGCAAAGUUAGAUUCACGACGAGAAUGAUACUUGGCAAUAGCCUCAGGGGAAGCUUGGCAUACGCGUGACCAAUGAUCCUUUGAUCCACAGUGAUAGCACAUAUUCAAUUCAUUAGAAGUGGCCUGAACGGGAGCUUUGCCCUUGUUCUUGAAGUUUGGGACCUUAGGUACGAGUGGUGGACGCUGCUGGGUUGUAAUUCUUCCCUUAGGUGCGGCACUCUGUUGACCUUGGGCCCGUGGUUGGGCUUGCCGCCCAUUUCCACGGCCACGACGGUUCUUUCGUUGUUUAUGGCUGCUAAAAUUGGUCGCAUACGCUUCAGGCGCAGCGUUUGAGCCAGUAGGUCGAGCUUGAUGAUUCCUCAUCAAAAACUGGUUCUGCUUUUCAACAAGAAGUAAAACAAAGAUCAUAUCCGAAAACUUGGUGAAUUUCUAUGCCCUAUAUUGUUGCUGCAGGAUAAUAUUGGUGGCAUGGAAGGUCGAAUAGGUAUUCUCCAUGAGAUCUGAUUCAGUUAGUUCCACUUUGCAGAAUUUCGACAAAGAACGGAUUCUACAAACUUCAGAGUUGUAUUCAUUCACGGACUUAAAAUCUUGGAAGCGAAGAUGCUGCCAGUCGUGUCUUGUUUUAGGCAAGUAUAUGUCUUUCUGGUGAUCAAAACGGUCAGCCAGAGCAAGCCAGAGGGUGCGUGGGUCUUCCUCAGCGAGAUACUCAGUCUGCAAUGCAUUAUAGAUGUGUCUUCGAAUGAAGAUCAUUGCAGUAGCCUUCUGAGCUUCGUCGACAGGUUUGUCGGCAAUACAUGUCUCAAUGGUGGCUCUAAUACCCUUUGCAGUGAAAUGAAGCUUCACGUCUUGAACCCACUUUAGAUAGUUUCUUCCAGAGACUUCGAGAGUGGAGAAAUCAAGCUUGUUCAAGUUUGACAUGUCCCUAAAACAGAGGGAAAAACGUGAUUAGUCAUAUGGUAAGCCAUAGACAUAUAUCGUAGAACAUACAUGUUCUAUAGACAUGUAUUAGUUUAAUUUAUGCAUGAAAACUUCAGGUUUCAUGUGGUAUGUUUUGAAUGAAAACUUCAGGUUUCAAAGGCACUAAUUUUGAAACUACAGGUUCAAAUUAGUUUUAUGAACGAUUAGUUCAUAAUGAAAGGUUCCCGCAAGAAACACAGAAUGCAAUAUACUAACUAAGUGCAGUGGAUUUGAGUUGGCUUCGGGAACUUAAGUGUGAGAGCUUCGGUACUACGAAAGUAUGUGACGGUUCAAAGUAUAAAAAAAAAAUUAUUGAAUCGUUAAUGUCCAAAAGUGAUCUUCAGGUCAAUAAUUUUGGAUUCAUUAUCAGAUUAGUGGACUGCAGGUCACUUUUAAUUAAUUCAAUAAAUCGGGCCAUACAAGGUCGAUUGUAGAAGCAAAUAAUAUUAUCAUACUGGUUAAAUUAUUUAAAAUGCUAAAAUAAUAGCUUGGGUGGAAAAUGCCCCAAAAUAAUUUGGGCAUGGGUGCCGUGGGUAAGGGAAGGCACGGGGUGCCUUGAGUAAAAAAGGCAGGGCCUAACAGGGCCUAGGAUAUGGCUGCAGGCCACGGGAGGGACAAAACCCCCAGCCGUAGCUGGUUUAGGUGUUUUGGUCCAAGGGGUCACGGGGGCAAGCCCAAGGCUUGCAGGUUGCUCACGCAGGGAGCCCAGCGAAGCUGGGGCCUUGAUUUUGUGGCGCAAGAGGCCCAACCCAAGGGCUGGCUUUAUGUGCCUUGUGUGCAUAAGGCGCCCAGUCGAGGGCUGGCAGGUUUUUUAUGCAGGCCGAGAGAGGCCAUGGACUGCAGGCCCAGCAAAGAAACCAAAAUCAGGCCGAAGCCUGUUUUCCUUUUUGACACAGGGAUGGUGCGAUGCACCAAAUCCCAUUCCCCCAUUUUUUUUUUCAAUUCCCUUUAGGUUUUAGGAAAAACCUAAUAUGCUUCUAAUUUAAUUUUAUACAUUGACUCACAAUUUCUACAUAACAAUUUAAUUGUGCGAUGCAUGAAACAAAUAUAUAGUGACAAAUAUAUGAACAUAUACAAUAUAUAUAUCGGGAGGAAAAUAUAAACAUAAGGGGUUCAUGCAUCAUGGGGAAUGUUUUCAUGCUUCAUGGGUCGUUUCAAAUAUCUUCCUUUAUUUUAAGCGUACCUGAGUAGCAGAAAACGAAUAAGCCUUUGAAUGUGGUGGAUGAUAGUCUCCUCCUACGAUGCUUUAGUUCCUCAGCUUCUGGCAAGAGCGUGCUGAUAACGUGUUGUAGGCCUAUUUAAUUGAGCGAUAUAAGGUUUAGAGAGAGAGAGGGAGACCGUCCACUAUAGAGAGAAGAGAGAUUGAUUUAAUUGUGAGGUGUGUUUGAUUCACCCCAUUGUGCCUUUAUUUAUAGUAGUUGGAAGGGUAAAUACCUUUCCCUUUUAUGAUUACAACAUUUAAUAGGUAAUCAAAUCCUAAUAGGAAUAUAUAAUACUUUCGCAUAUUCUCUAGGAUUUACACAAUCACAUUCCUAUUCUAUAUAGAACUGCAACAUUAAUUGAUUUCUUUUUAAAAUGGAUGAAACAAAUAUAAUUUAUAACAAAAAAAAUAUAUCAGUUGGAAAAAAAAAAUCUGACAUUGUCACGUCCGCCAUCAAAUUAACAUUUGACAUUUAUCUUUUGAUAUCUCCAUUGGAGAUGCUCUAAGAGUCUCAUGGGUAUUGGAGCCAUCAAAUACAUUUAAUCAAGUUUUAGAGCAACACAAGUAAUUAAGUAGUCAUUUAACAACAUUUUAAAUAGUUUUAGGGAGUCUAAAAGUCCAAUUCGGAAUUGGUUUUUUUCUUUUUCUUUUUGGAACAAGUGAUAUUAUCUACAUUGAGGGGAGGGGUGGGCUUAGCCUCACAAUGAGUUAGCAAUAAUAUGGUUCAAACUCACCCUUGGCGAAAAUCGAACAUAAGACCUCUCACUUAUAAGUGAAGAGGAAUACGACUAGACCAUAGUACUAAGUGGCAAUUGGGUUUUAUUUGUGUUUGUACUCUUUAUAAAUACCAGCCAUUGAUAGACUUGAAUGAAUUAAAAUAUAUUUGCAUUGUGCAAUUGAAGUGAGUGUUUCCUCAUUCUCUAAAAUCAAGCAUUUGGCUUGGUUGUGUGAGUGAAUCCACGAUUAGCAACGUCGAGCGAAUUUUGUUGCCACUGGUCUAGUGAUUCCCAGGUUCUAUCCCUCGUCUCUUUGAGACCCUUGGUGCUUUCUCCUACGUCAAGUGGCAUCAAAGCAAGUUUUCCGUUGCGUUAGAUCAUGGGUAAUAUUUUCUAUUCAUUUGAAUAUCAAAUAGUAGAAGAGAUUAGUUUGGUAGAUUGGAAUUCUCCGUCAAUUUACGAUGAUUAUGUUGAUGAUGAUUCAUUAAGCUCCAGUGCACAUUCUUCGGUGGUGACUAUGGAACGUCUUGUAAGGGCGUUAGAAGAUGCAUAAUUCACAUUGAACUUUGAUCUUUUGGGGGGGGGGGGGGCUUGUUUUUCUUAGUGCUCAGAAAAAAGCUUAGUCCAUACCAUGCUGAAUGGGCGACUUACAAAAAUUUUGGUGGAAGAGAAGUAAGGUUUUCAUCUCAAGAAUCUUUGAAAGAAGAUACUAUUUAUGAAUACAUUGAUUUUAUUGGUUUCGAUAUUUUUAAUUGGAAGACUUCUCAAGUUUUGGUUGAUUUAGUCAAUCAAAUGAAGAUUGAUAUAAGUUGGAUUGCAAGAUUUGUCAUGGAGCAUGAACUUACCAUUUCAAGAAUAAGGAAAUAUUCCAAGUAUUUAUUCGUAGGCAAAAAUCAAUUUCAAGAUUACAACGGAGUAAAUGAAGAUUUAAACUCAAGGGGGUUAAACUCAAGGGUGAGUUUCUUCGGAGAAGAUGAGAAUGAUGCAGUAAUCAAGGCUCUAAUGCAUGUAUUGAAAUUUACUAAGAGUCUCAUGGGUAUUGGAACCAUCAAAUACAUUUAAUCAAGUUUUAGAGCAACACAAAUAAUUAAGUAGUUAUUUAAAAACAUUUUAAAUAGUUUUGGGGAGUCUAAAAGUCCAAUUCGGACUUGGCUUUUGUUUGUGUUUGUACUCUUUAUAAAUAUCAUGUAUUAGAAGCCAUUGACAGAUUUGAAUGAAUUAAAAUAUAUUUGUGUUGUGCAAUUGCAGUGAGUGUUUCAUCCUUCUUUAAAAGCUUGGUUGUGUGAGCAAACCAUGAUUAGUAACGUCGAGCAAGUUCUGUUGCCCCUGGUUGAGUGAUUCCUAGGCUCUACCCCCUGUCUCUUCGAGACCCUUGGUUCUUUCUCUUGCAUUACAUAGUUUUGGCCGAGAUGAACAAGGACAAUACUAGACCAUUGCUUAGAAUGAAUCCCACAAUAAUGGGAUUUGCAUAGGCUGCUAACUAAGUUGAGGUAUUCCCCAAUUACCAAUUAAUUUUAUGGUGAAACCUUAACUUUCUUCAACAAUAAACCUUAUAUAAAGUAUGGCUAGUCUUGUUACUUAUUCUUUUCAAUUUAGUGUACCUCCAAUUCUAUUAUAAUUUCUGACAUAAAAAACUAUUAUGAUUAUAUGGUUGUAAGGGGUUCUAUUUGCACAUGCAUUCCUAAAUUUUAAGUUCAAUUUUGAAGUUGAAUUCAAAACAUUAUUUGAUUUAAUAUAAUAUACCUAGGUUUGUGAUGUGAAAAACUGACACAAGUGUGUCUCACAUCUCACUCCAUGUGCGUAAUUAAGACAAAGAUGCAAUCAUGCAAUCAAGAUGUACAUUUGAAUUAUGAAAGCUUUUUUCCGUUUUCUACUUUAUUAGAAGAUAUUGUAAGUCCAAAUCUCAUAGUGUUGUUUUUUUUUUUUGUUGACAAGAUCUCAUAGUGUUGUUGAAUUGAAAAACAAAACAAAAAAGUAAAAAAUUAAAAGAUCGGCAAUCCGUUGGAAGAAAAAAUCCUAAUGCAUUAACAGCUUCAAUGUUUGGUAGAAAACAUAUAGUCGGUGUCACUAUAAGAAAAUAAUCCAAAUGCACUUAAAUUUUGGUGAUUAUAAAAUGAGGAAAAUGGUUAUGUUAUGAUCCGUACACUCCUUUCUACUUUCACAUAUAUCUCUUAAUUCUCAGUCGUUAGAUUGAAUCAAUUGAAGAGAAUUAAAAGAUAAAUAUUAAACAGAUGAUGUGAGGAAGAAGUGUGCGGAUAGCACCACCCAUGUUUAAAAAAAAAUGUCCAAUUUAAUGUUAGCCUUCCAACUAGUCGCCACAAACCCUAGAUUUGAAACCUCAGCCGCCGCCCUUGCUUUUGCUUAGGGUUGGCGGUAACUGGCUACCCUCUCCAUCUAAUCAUCCUCCUUUUCUUCCACCUUUGUUGGUUUGAAAAUAGGUGUCAUGUAGGCUCGGCGUUCUUUGUCGAUUCUCCGGCGUUUUUGUCGGUUUCUGCUGCCUUAAUUUCUUUUGUUUUCCACCCCUCCUAUCUUCCUGUUAUUAAGGGUACAUGUCAGAAAUACAGUGAGUAAGUUGGUUAGAGUUGUUAGGUUUUCUCUUAUAAAAUUAGAAUUAUGUAUACUUUCUUUUUUAGUUAAUACAAAUUAUAUUUCUUUCUCUAGGAUCUAGGAUCUCUCUUGUUUCUCUCUAUCAUCUUCCUCUUCCUCUGUACCAUUUCUUCAUCUUUUACAAUGUAGUUAACAUGGUAUGGUAUCAGAGCCGCACCAAGGCUCAGGCCAUGGAUCUUGGUGGUCAAUUCCUCUUCUCUCAUUACUUUCUAUUUUUCUCAUUACUUUUUAUCGCUUCCGCGUAUUUGAUCGUUUAUGCUUCCGUAUUCAUAGUUCUCUCUGCUUCUCCAAUGGCGCCUAACCACCACUCAUUUCUCUUAAUCUUCUUUCUCACCACUCUGUUCUCAGCCAUCAACCCAAUCGCCACCGUCAUUGCCUCUCCCUCAUCAUUACCGCCACCACCACAAACCUCAUCUCUAUCUCCAUCACCAUUAUCAACACCACCAUCCCCACCGCAAUUAUCUCCGCCACUACCUCCUCAGCAUUCACGGCCAUCCCCAAGCACAACGCCCCAACAACUCAACAACAUAACCAACGUCCUAAUAGGAGCAAACACAGUAGUCCUCCCAUUGAGCGCCACCCUCUUCAUCCCGCAAGACAACGCUUUGAACAGCCUCCCCACCACCGAGGUUGUAGCAGUCACAGCCCCAGUACUAGCAAAGACGCCACAGUGGAAAAACAUUGAUGUGAACAUCACCGCCACCACAAUGAUCGCCGCCACAGUGGAAAAACAUUGAUGCGAACAUCACCGCCACCACAAUGAUCAUCUUCACCACAUGCAUUUUGCGAUCUUGAAAAACUUGCAGUUCUUGAUUUCUUGUGUUCGUAAGAAGAAGAUCGAAACGAAGACGAUCAAUCGAGGACGAAGGCAAGAAAUCUGUGUGUAAUGAAUGAAAAAAAAAUGUUGUGGAAUAAUGGUGAAGUGAAUUGAAACUACGAAUUGGUGGAAUGGAAUGGAUUGGAAGAAGUUGUCUAGUGCAUUCUUGCACAUUACAUGUUUGACGAAAUGACAGCUUGAGAUUUUCUGUGAAGGUUAUGUUUCUUGUCACUUUCUUUGAAUUCUUUGAAGAAUUGGAAUGAUUUCUUACUGCGAUUACUUCUGGGAUAUGACAAUCAAUUGUUUUCAUCCAAAUUAAGGCAUGAAAUAAUCUCACUUUCGAUCAUCUUUUUCUGAGUUUCAUGUUGUUUUUCGGAUAUUGGGGUUCAGCAUUGUCGGAAUAAGUAUUUGGUUGAUGGUUUGUGGAUUUUACUCUCAAUUGGGUCUUGGAGUUCAUUGUUUAGACGAUUCACAAGCUUUUGGAAGAAGUGGACUUGUUCUGAAGUAUUAGGCUAUCUCCAACCGAAGGGUCCAGAGGGCCAGAGGGCCGAAAAUAACCCUAAAACCGUCUCCAACCGAGGGCUAGGCCAGAGGGCUCGAGAAUCUGGGAGGGCCCCACGGAAUUUCAAAGGGCCAAAGGGCCAAAGGGCUGGCUGUUGGCUGGUUAUUUUUUUUUAUAGUUUUGUUAUUCCUGUCGGUUACUAUUAUUUAAUAUACUAAAUAAUGGUGUAUUAUAACCGACAGAACCGACAUUAUUGUUUAAAAAAAAAAUUCAAAUGAAACGGCUACUAGCCGUUGCAUUGAUUUGAUUUGAUUUUUUUAUAUUAUUAGUAUUUUUUUUAAAUUCCAUUUUUUUCCUAUAACUUCUAUUUCACAAAAUUUAUUUCAUAUUUUUUUUAAAUUCCAUUUUUCCCUAUAACUUCUAUUUCACAAAAUUUAUUUCAUAUUUUUUUUUAAAUUCCAUUUUUUUCCUAUAACUUCUAUUUCACAAAAUUUGUUUCAUAUUUUUUUUUACAUUCCAUUUUUUUUCCUAUAACUUCUAUUUGACAAAAUUUGUUUCAUAUUUUUUUUAAAUUCUAUUUUUUUUCCUAUAACUUCCUAAGCCAUUAUACAACAUUAAAUUAAAUUAAGUAACAUGAAACAAUAUUAAACAAUAUGAAACAACAUUAAAUAACAUUAACCAACAUAAAAAUUAUACAACAUGAAACUUAAACAACAUUUUAGUUGUAGUUUUUAAAUAAUAAAUUAUGUUUGGCCCUAUGGCCCUUUGGCCCUCCGUUGGAGACGGUUUUUUGUGACAGGGCUAAAACGAGCCCUCUGGCCUUUUGGCCCUCGGUUGGAGACGGAGUCAAAUAUUACCUUAUAUUGUUCAUUAAAAUAUUAAUAUCUUGGGGAAUCUUGGAGGGUCAGAGGGCUAAAAUGAGCCAUCUGGCCAACCCUCGGUUAGAGAUGGCCUUAGAUAGCACCGUGGAUGAUGCUUUGGGGUGACCAAGAAGCCUUGCAAAUGAAGUAUGAAGAAUAACAACAUCAUAAAGUUGCUUUUCAGGUGCACGUGGAAGCACAUCCCUCAAUUUUUCUUGAAUGAUUAUAGGAUAUGAUCCAGUGAUUACCUGCCAGCAUCUAAGGCCAUCUCUAACCGAGGGCUGGCCAGAUGGCUCAUUUUAGCCCUCUGGCCCUCCAAGAUUCCCAAGAUAUUAAUAUUUUAAUGAAUAGUACAGGGCCAUAUUGGCCUCUGUCUCCAACCGAGGGCCAAAGGGCCAUAGGACAAAACAUAAUUUAUUAUUUAAAAACUACAAUUUAAAUUCAAAUCUAACGGCUAAGUGACGUCAGCAUGAUGUCAGGUAUAAAUAGGGUGGAUAUUGGGCUAUAAUUCACACAACUUUAAAUUCAUAUUGUUUAAUGUGGUUUCAUAUUGUUUAAUGUUGUUUCAUAUUGUUUAAUGUUGUUUCAUGUUGUUUCAUAUUGUUUAAUAUUGUUUCAUGUUACUUAAUUUAAUUUAAUGUUGUAUAAAUGGCCUAGGAAGUUAUAGGAAAAAAAUAGAAUUGAAAAAAAAAUAUGAAACAAAUUUUGUGAAAUAGAAGUUAUAGGAAAAAAAAAUGGAAUUUAAAAAAAUAUGAAACAAAUUUUGUAAAAUAGAAGUUAUAUGAAAAAAAAAUAUGAAUCAAAUUUUGUAAAAUAGAAGUUAUAGGAAAAAAAUAGAAUUUAAAAAAAAAAUUGAAACAAAUUUUGUGAAAUAAAAGUUAUAGGAAAAAAAUGGAUUUUAAAAAAAAAAUAUGAAACAAAUUUUGUAAAAUAGAAGUUAUAGGAAAAAAAAUAGAAUUUAAAAAAAAAAUUGAAACAAAUUUUGUAAAAUAGAAUUGAAAAAAAAUAUGAAACAAAAUUUGAUUCUUAUGAAAAGGAAAAAAAAAGGAAAAAAAGAAGUUUAAAUUCAUAAAAAAAAAAAAAAGUUAAUACAACGGCUACUAGCCGUUAUAUUAAAAAAAAAUUCAAACUAUUAGUGUCGGUUAUAACCGACACUAAUAGUAAUUAAAAAUAAAAAUUUUACUUUAGAAUAACUAUUACUGUCGGUUAUAACCGACAUUAAAAAAUUCUUCUUUAAUGCUGUCGGUUAUAACCGACAACAAUAGGAAAACAUUAAAAAAAAAAUAGCCAACCUUCUCUGAUCCCUUGGGGCCCUUCCAAAUUCCAGAGCCCUUGGUUGGAGACGGUUUUAGGGCUAUUUUCAGCCAUCUGGACCCUUCAGUUAGAGAUGGCCUAAGAAGCACACAUGUUGAAGUUACUCAUGGUCAUUGACAAUGCAGCUGUUGCUACCAUAACUUGUUCCAAAUGGGACUUAGUUUCAAGAUUGUAUUGUGUAAGUCCUUGAAAUUCUGUUGUCUUUCAUUGGGUAUGAAUUGUUCAGGAGCUUAUCUCAACCUAUAAUUUCAGAGUCUAACCAACUUAGUUGUAGCAUGUAUAUACUAGAAGUCCAAUUGUAUAUUUCUUGAAGAGAUGAAAAGUUUGAAAAAGUUGUUGACGGUAAAUCCUACGAAGGGUAAUCUCGUUUUAUGAGUAGGUAAAUCCCACGAAGGGUAAUCCUACAGAGAUGUUGAUUUUCUAUUGUUGAAAUUGUGAAGGCCGAUGCCAUUGUUCAAAGAAGUUGUUGCUAGUAAAAUCCACAAGGGCGAUCCCAUGGUGCUAUAGUUGAGGCCGAUGCCACACUAUAGUUUGUUAAUUUUCUAGUUUUGUAAAUAUUAAAGGCCGAAGCCAAUGUUGAAUGAGAUUAUUGACGGUAAAUCCCACAAAGGGUAAUAAGAAGUUGUUAUAUCGGCAUAAGGGUGUGCUACAACUACUUUAUAGAAGGUUGUUCUUGUGUAAAACUCCUGAUAGAGGUAGAAGAAUACAUGGUGUCUUUAUUUGUAAGGCAGUGGAAGAAAUUUGGACAAACAGACAGAGGCUUUUGAUCAACAACUACAAAUAGGUCAUGGGGUACACUUGUUUGAUUCAGGGCUUUGGGAAAGCUAGAAGCUUAGGUAAUAUAGUUUAAGUAUAUGCGCUUACUCUCUGUCGUAUGGUAGUGUGAAGAAACUAAUGAUGAGAAUAUGGUGAUUUCUUGUUUGUAGCAGGCUAAUCCAAAUUGGUGAUUUUAGUCAAAGUGCUACAUGUGGAAAAUUGUUUGGGUAUCAAUCCAAUGGUGGUUCUCCUAAAUCUACAGUAGAGUGUCUCAAGUCUUCCAAUCUUAAACCGGGUUUCCCCAAUUGAGAUUAAGAAGGAGUAUUAAGGGUACAUGUUAGAAAUAUAGUUACCAAUACAGUUAGUAAGUUGGUUAGAGUUGUUAGGUUUUCUCUUAUAAAAACAGAAUUAUGUAUUCUUCCUUUUUUAGUCAAUACAAAUUAUAUUUCUCUCUCUAAACUCUCUCUCUUUCUAGGAACUACGAUCUCUCUUGUUUCUCUCUAAGAUCUAGGAUCUAGGAUCAUAAAAGUAUUAGGGCUAUUAGGGACCAAAAGUGAUUUUCCCAAGAUGUUCUUUCGUCGAGUGCUACCACUUUAGCACCAUUGCCACAUGAGACAUUUCUAGAGUCUUGACAAAAGUAGACUUUGCAAGAAUUCUAAUAGGUGGCAUUCUAAUGGAUACUGCCAAGGAAUCAAACUAUUUCGGAUUUCCAAUCUCAAAGGUUUAAUACUGAUAGCUGGAGGAUAAGGAUGGAAUUGGUUGGUAAAGUCUCCAAUGAUACACAAUUACCAAUACAUUAGCCUUGGUUUAGGCCAUCAACUUACCUUAAAUCUACAUCUUUCCUUGGCAGGGAUUUUCUUCUCUUUAAGUCUAAGGGCAAUCGCCAAAGUGCUCUUCUAAAAUGUCAACAAGUAGACAAAACUACCCAAAACUUAGGAAAACUAACAAUUUUUCGUAUUCGACGAGGUGGCAAGACCCGAACAUUAGGCUUAAAAACCUAGAAUGCUUUCAUCACGCAUGUGAUGAACGCAACAUUACCCAACUUAUGCUCUGAUACCAAACUGACACACCUUGACCCAGAAUAUCCACUAGGACUUCGAAUCGAGCUAUGCUGGCCAACACCUGGAAGGUGACAAAGCCAUAAAGUAUAAUGAUGUGGAAAAUGUGAAUAAAUUUAAACCUUAAAGUACCUAAAGACAAAAGUGCGCUGUGAGCGGGGAUGAACCCAUUUCACACGCGACGUCAAAGAAUAAGUAAAGUACAGUAGUAUGGAUAAGGAUCAUACCCUCGGAGGUAGCCACCUAUACUGAGGUUUGCCAAGAAUCAUUGUCUAUACGAACUUUCAGCAGCUAAAACCUAGAAGGGCACAAAAACAAGGGUGAGUGGGCUUGAAAAUAGAGUUUUUAAUAAAAACCUUUUGAAAAUGUUACAACCCCUUGCCAUAAAACUUGUACAAUUUCCGAGAAAAUAAUAAUAUAUACGUAUAUAGAAAUCAUGCUCGAGAGUAGUGAAAACCAAGUAUAUGCCAUGUCAAGUAUCUCAACAAUGAAAUAAGUAAGCCGGGUGAAAUAAAUCAAUGUAAAACGAUAUGUCAGCCGAAGUCACCUAACGUGACCUGUAUGGUUGAGCCUAUAGCUCAUUAACCAAUUCCUGCACAUAAAUCAGAAUCACCUAUUGUGGUCUGUACGACAGGGUUAAGUGCAAACAAGUACGCUCAAAUGUUACGAUCAUGUGAAGGCUAUACGAAUAAUCGCGGGUCACCUAUGAGUCGGAACCACCUAAUGUGGUCUAUACGAUAGGGCUGUGCACCAAACUUUGAUACAAGGUGAGCAUGCAGUACGGGAGGUGAACAUCACGUGAAGGAUUGUGCCUUAGCCACGGGCGGGAGCACUAACACCCGGGUGCAGGAUAAUGAGCUCUAUAUGCCUCUACAUAUAACCAUAACCAAUGCAACCAAUAACAUCAUACAAUACUCACCUGAAACUUACUUGGCCUCCGCAGCGUCAUACAAUAGAAUGCAUAUACAUACCAAUGCAUAUAAUAAAACGAAAUGCAAGCAUGACAUGGCAUUUAAAAGAAUACGCUCGUUUAAAACAGUCUCUGGGAAAAUGUAAAGCAUAUAUACAUAUAUAUAUAUACAUAUAUAUAUAUAUAUAUAUAUAUAUAUAUAUAUAUAAAACCAAAAGCCCACUCACCUAGAGUCCACACUACAACUCCCUAGCACAAACAUCAAGGCGUCACGAACGUUCGGCGCCUAGAACAAUUAUCAAAUCAUGUCUUAGAAUUCUUAUCAAUAGAACAUGUAACUUACAUAUCCUAUUCGGGAAGAUCUGUACGUUGGAUUCCCGAUCUGUAAGUUUCUAAUAUUAUCAAAUGUUACAUAUUAUAACAUGUCAAAGUUUGGUGACGAUCCAACGGUUGGAUCGUCGAUUGCUAUAAUAAUCAAGCGGAUGACCUUAAUGGAACUACGUUCAAAUGACGGAAAUUUGUCAAUCGAACUUCACCAAUGGAACUAGGGUAUUCAAAUUUAGCCUAGGAAGGUCAGGCGAUGUCUCGGCCCACGCACCGCCGCAGGUGGAGGUCAGCUGCCCCGACUCGUUGGAAAAUUCAAUUAUUUCUAAAAAUUACCAAAUUUUACAGGGAUGAAGAUCUCAAUGAGAGGAACAACUUUCAUACCUGUGACCAAGGCCAUUUCGGUAGGGAAACACCUCAAAUUCCCCUCAAUCCGCCGAAAACUCCAUAAAAUGUGAGCUUCGAAUCGACUUCCAUACGCUCUCCAACGCCUCCACUAUUGUUUGGGCUUUAUUCUUGACCUCUAGAGAAGUUUUUUGAUGGUGGUGAUUGAAGAUAAUCAUUUCAAAAAUGGGUGGAUUGCUGCCGGGUGCCCUCGAAGCCAACGAUUUCAGUCCGUCGUGAAACAAAGAUGGAAGAUCUCUGGGUUGAUUUAUGGUGGUGGAGGGCCCAAAAACCUGACGAAAUCUUGUCAGAAAAUGGCUUUAGGAAUCAAGUCACGGUUUCAAAACGGGUCGGGGGUCCGAUCAGCUACCCCCUCAACUCUUUCAUUUCCCCUCCUUUUUCUUCUCUUCCAUUGGUUCUCUCAUUUUCUCCCUUUCCUAAUUGGUCCGGCUCCUCCCUCAUUUCUCUCUUUUAUCCUUCAUCUCCACCGCCUAUCUUUCCUUUAUUUCAAUCUCAGCCACACACAUGGCUUUCCAGAUUUGGCCCAAAAAAUCUGGAGCUUUCUUGAUAUUAAUUAAUUUACUAAAAUGCCCCCAACUUUAAACGUUAAUAUCUCAUUCGUUAUAACUUCAAAUGGCAUUCCGUUGGCACCCACGCGUCCGUAGCGACGAGUACUACAAGGAUAUGCCAAGAAAAUGAAUCUUACAUAACUCGACAAGCGGUCAACAAAAAGCAAUGCAUUUUCCUCAAAGGACAUUUUCGAAUUUUCACAUUUAAAAUUUAUAAAGACUGUAAUUUUUUAGGAUGGGCCGUUACAUCUUCCCUUUACAGCCCACCUCAUUUUGAUACCCACCCUAACUUUUGCUUAGAUCCUGUAGCGACGAACAAAAGAUGGAGGCCAAGUCUAUUUUCGUCCUUCAUUCCCCCUACGCCACUUGACAAUGCCGGGUUUCUCUCGAGGUCAAGCGUUCUACAACUUCUACCAAAGUAGGGGUAUUUCACAUGCUCUCUUAGCCUCACCAGUCAUCCAUCUGUUAAUGUAUUUGUAUACACUUGUAGGAUUUGGUGAAAGUGAUUUAGAUACGGUGGCUAUUGUUUGAGGAGUUCUUGGUGACAAAAUCUGGUUUUAGUGCUUUAUUGGUGGCGGGUUUGUAACUUUUGUACUAUGUUCUCUUGGUUGAAUUGGCCACUUGGUCGUUUUCUUCAAUGUAACUGACUCGGUCGUUAAAUUAGAUGCAAGUGACAUUUUACCAUAGUGAUGCAAAUGAGUUGAGCCAUUACAUGUCGAUGUGGGUUCGAAUUCCUUCGGUGAUUAAUCUAACAUAUAAUUUAACAAAAUCUAUCAUUCGACAAGCAAAAAAAAAACUGCCUUGAUUACUGCUGACAAGGCAUUCGUGGUGGCAACAUCAGUUAUACUCUACAAUUGGAUGAUAGGAUUUAGGGUUAAUUAUGUUGUUUUUUUUUGUCUUUCUGCCUUAGGUUUCUCCCGAUAAAUUUUGGAUUUUCUGCCGUCCUUUUGGUUUGGCCCAUGUAGCCCGUCUUUAUGUUUAUUGAAUUCAAUUCUCGCCCCAAAAAACAAGAAAGAAAAAAAAACAAACAAAACCGAUGUGAUUUAUCUAUUUAAGCCCAUCAUCAGUCUCCUCAAUCCUUUUCCACCAAACCUUUCCUCCCCCCCUCUCUCUCUCUCUCUCUCUCUCUCUCUCUCUCUUUCAGAUCAAAUGGAGCAACACUCAGAUCCAAAGUGGGAAGCCAAGUUUUCUACAACCCUAAAAGAUGCCACAGUGGACCAAAUAUGGCCUCUCUGCAAAGACUUCUUUUAUUUCCACAAGUGGUUUCCAACCCUUGCCCCUUGCUAUGGGAUCCAUGGAACCAACGGUGAACCCGGCUAUAUCAGACAUUGCUCGCUGUUCUCAAUCCCCUCCAAGAGUGGUGAGAAGUUCGUCAGCUGGUCCAAGGAACGAUUAAUAGCCAUUGAUGAUCCUGACCAUAGUCUGAGCUAUAAGAUCGUGGAGAGCAACAUUGGGUUUAAGUCGUACGUCUCAACGUUCAGGAUUGUUCCGCGUGGGGAUAUUGACGGUCGAGAUGGGUGCGUGAUCGAGUGGUCUAGAACCGUUGAUCCUGUGAAGGGCGGAUUCUUGGUGAUUUGGUGAAGAAGCAUAAGGCUGGGUUUUAGAAAGGGGUGUGAUAUCCAUAUAUCCAAUUUUACUUCUCAUACACAUUUUUAAUUUUCGAUCGUCGGAUCAGAUGAAUUGAAGAAGAUCAACGGACAUAAAUUAUCAAGAGGUAUGUGAGAAGUAAAAUGGGGUGUGUGGAUAGUACACCAAUGUCUAAGAGAAUGGAAGAUGCAAUUUGUAUUUGAACAUUUCCUGCUGCCGGGCAGCCGGGAUUCUGAAUGCUCAUCACAACAUUACUUCAAUGAUCAUUCUUUCAAGUGCCAAAUUUGAAUUCCCUCAUUUUGUUUUGUUUUGUCAAAGUAUAGUUUUUGUUAGAUUAGAUGUUAAAUUAGUCACCGACGGGGUUGAACCAACGUUAUCACGAAAGAGCUCAACACUUUUCCAACACUGUGAUCAAGGUUCUAAAAGAUGCUAGUCGGGCGGCGGGUUGGAGCCUAGCGCCUAGGCGAUGCCUAAGCAGACUAGGCGGAUUAAGUAAAUGUAUUAUAUAUUGUAUAAAUAAAUGUCUAUUUAUACAUAACAAAACAUAUAAUUGUAUUGGUAUCAAUAAAUUGAUAAAUAAACUGACAUAUAGAUUAUAACGUAUUAGAACACAUUGCUAAUAUGAGGAACAAACAUACACUAAGUGUUCAUUCAAGUAUUCAACAAGUUUCUUACAUUUUAUUGAAAAAUAAAAUGCAAAAUGAAAGUUAUCGAUCUUUUGUCUAAGUGAAAAUCGCUACCAAGGUAGGUGCCUAGGAGGGUUUAGGCAGGUGUCUAGGUGGACUAGGCGGGCGUCUCAUCGGGUCUAGGUGCACUUUCUUAAUUUUCAAACACUUAUGAACUAAUCGGGGCGGUAGCUAGCCACCUAGUGCCUAGGCGGCGCUAGACGGGGAUUUUUGGAACAAUGAUUGUGGUAAAGGGCCACUUGCAAUUCCCUCAUUAUUGUGGAUAAACAAUGCAACACAUGCAACAUUCUCGGGAAUACUUUUGCUCACCCUCUAAAGUGGCAGUAAUACUCAAGCCCCAUUAAUUGUCGUUAGUGUGGAACCAAAAAUAAUCAAGAUGCGACACGUGAAUUUUUUGGUAAAAUAGACAAAAUUACCCUCAAGGCACACCGGAAUUCCUACACGCGAGUAGUGGACAAUCAUCCCUUAAUCAAGUCAAAAGUGCCCAAAUAGGUAUUUAUUUAUAACCUAUUUCAUCUAUCCCUCAUCAUAUCUUCUCCACAAGGUAACCCCUAAAUCAUUCAUUUUUUAUUAUAAUAAUUAGCUAAUUAAUUGAUUAAUUAUUCAAUUAAUUUGCUAAUUAAACACAAAUCGUGAACUUCACCCACAAAACCAUCCAAGUAGUCGGUCCAUCUCCUCCCAAGGUGGCUGGCCACACCUCUAUAUAAACACCCUCAUUUUCUCCAAAACUCAAUUCCAAUUCUCUUGCUAAAUUCUCAAAAUUCUCCAAACAUUUUUCCCUCAAAAUUCUAACUUUGGCAUCAGAGGUUUUUCGGCCAAAUCCCCUCCCAUUCAUCGUGGGCGCGUGAAGCUCUUGACCUUGACCUAAGGUGUUAUUUGUUUUGUAGGUGCAAUUUUGUCCAAGAUCAAUGAGGAAGAAAUUUACAUUCAUAAAUUGGUGCUUUCAUUGAGAGUUGAGUCACACAUUCGUAGAAGACUCUCGCAUCUAAGGUUUUUCGCUUUCUUGUUCAUUUGUAGAUUUUUCAUACGGUCUUAUUCUUAGAAUUUUUAUUUCUAAAUUUUUUUUGGUAAAACGUAAAAGAAAAGUACAACGGCAAGGGAUUCGGAAACCUCAAUGAUCGAAACUUCCUAUGUUCAAAGAUCCGGAUUGAAUGAUGGAGGACAAGACGUAGCACCAACACGACGAUCCACAAGGCUCAACACGAUGGCAAGAUGAGCAACUUUACCACCAAGGAGCACCACCACCAUGGCAGCCACAAGGACUACCGUGACAGUGGGAAGUGAGCCAGCUCCAUGGCACCGAGCCCACGGUGAGCAGGGGACAACGAGGCAGCCACUAACUCAGGCCCAUGCCACUUUGCAGCAGCAAGCCCAAGCGCUAGAAGCAGCGUAAGCCGUUGCCCUAGCAACACAAGCUCUAGCCUCAUACCCACGUGUGCCACACGCCGAACAGCCCACUUCUGUGGCCCAGCUUGCUCCCACAGUCUACUCUGCUACAGUGGCCAAGCCUAUUCCCGCGUUCCAGUCUACUCCCGUGGCCCAGCCUGCUCCCAUAGCUUUCCAAGCAGCCCAAAUCAGUCCAAGAUUAGUUCAACUGUCCCGGCUUCAAAUUCCUGGGCUUACGAUUGAGUCGGGGGCAUUUUCAUCACAUUUCUUAUCGGAUUUAACAUUUCCCAACUCAAAUCUCUUGCUCGGAGUCUACCACACUGCUCAAGAAGACACAUUCAUUCCAGGUUCUUCUAACCUAAAUGGAGAAUAACACUUGUCUCGAUAAGUUAUAGAGUUGACGAUCACUUUCGCACAACAGACAACCUUGGUGAAUCAACUCUCGCAACACACCGAGAUGCAACGUACCCUUGACGAGGUGUCCUGAAGUAGGAAAAAGGUAGAUGAAGAACCUCUUCAGCAGUGUCCUGGAAAACAUCCCAUUAACCAGCCACGAUCCGAGCGUUCUAGCAGCUUACGCUUCCGCCUGGGUCCUCGAGAUAGCGUAUAUUAUUGUCUUAGCGCGCGAAGGAGCGUGUAUUCUUGAUCAAGCCCAUGAAUGAGCAUACGUUCAUAGUUGAGGCUACACUCUGAUUAUCAACAUGGAUAACCUUCUAUGCGAAGUGUUCAUUCACAACUAGGCUUGCAAGAAGCAUUCUCCACCUCACAUCGGAGUAGGCAGCACGAAAGCAGUCUCCACUUCACAUUGGAGUAGGCAGCACUGCGGAUGGAGAGAAGUAGUCACUCAAUCCAACUCAAGUUCAACUGGUAGCCUGCAAAUAGCCUGGUCGCUCGCCAGAAAUAUCCCACAUGCACCACAGCCACAUCAUAGAUGAGUCGAGCAUAAGGAAGAGUGGCCUAGACUAAUAGGUCACAACUAGGGGCAACUGAAAGUUCCACUGACCCAACAGAGGUAAAUUCAAGAAGAAGUUGAUAGGCUUCUGAUCGAACAAUUACAUAAUUUCUAGCGCAACGAGGCUGCUGACGAUGCACUUCGAUGAAACAUGACCAACAUAAGCAUGUCACCAUUCAAGGAUGAGAUUGGGCAGAUAAAUCCCCCUCGCGGGUUCCCUAUGCCUCACUUCACUCUAUACAAGGAAGACGAAGAUUCGGAUUGACAUCUCAAGCACUGCCUCAGUACCAUGAUCCUCUUCAGGAACGAUGAUGUGGUUAUGUGCAAAAUUGUUGCCAUAACUCUACAAGGCGAAAUUUGCACUGGGUAUUAUUUGUUUUGUAGGUGCAAUUUUGUCCAAGAUCAAGGAGACAGAAAUUUGCAUCCAUAGUUAGCUUAUUUAAUUUGGGGGGUGAUAUACCCACCCACCAACACUAUUUCUCUACCCACUUUUUAAUGGUACUUUUAAUGACAACUCUAAACUUUUGCAAAAUGACUUAUAAGGCCAUCUUUAACUAUUUUAUUCUUUUGUUUUUGUAUUAAAUUCUGAAAAUAGAAGGAACAAAAACAUGAGCCCAGCAAGUUGAAUCCAUCGUUUUCCUCAUCUUUUAUGUCAAUUCCUUCCCAUCCAUUUGAAAUCUUCAUCAAACACCAUAGACCCAUUACAAUUACCUUAAGAAACUUACUUUUUUUUCUUUUUCUCUCAUACCCAUUUAUAGUUUUGACAAUCCAUGUGGAAAUGUGCUCAGUUCAUCUAAUUGACGUGGUUUUGAUACCCCUCUUCUACGAUUAGUCCUCUACUUGAGUUGUAAUUGCCGAGAGCAACUACGAGGUCGAUCGAGGAUGUUGCUCAUCCUCAUAGUCUUGAUUAAAUUAGAGACAAAGUUGGUUGACGGUGAAAAGGGGGUUGCUUGUCGUUGAGUGGGUGGAUGUGUGGUGGUGGCUAAUUUUCUUUGUAAGGGAUAGUUUAGGAAUAUUAGUGGGGAAAUAGUAUUUUUCUUGUUUACCUUUUGCGUGGGGUGGGAAAAUAAGGUGGGGUGGGAGAAUAGGAUUGUGGGGUGGGUCUAGUAGCUCUCUUUAAUUUUAAGAUUCGUAUUUUAUAUCAACUAAACUAUAUUAAUUUAAUUGUAAAUUAAAUAGGGAUGAGCAUUUUUUGAGGUGAGCAAAAAUGCACACAUCUCUCUCAUAGGCACUAAUGAUGAAGUCAGUUUAGCUAUAUAUUUAACAAGUUAUAAAAUCAUAAUGUUAUAUAGCCCAUGUGUUUUAGCUGAGGCUUAAAGCAUAAGUGAGUGACAACUAUUGUAUAUGUUUGCUAGUGGCAUAUUGUAUUAAUUUUUUAGGGUCUUCUUUUUCAACCUAUUAACUUAUCGGUUUAAACCCUUAUUUAAUUCUCGUCUAAUUUAUAGUAGUGAUAUUGUUUGUAAUUAAAAACUCUAUAUAGAGAGCUGUUACUAACACUCUAAAAAUGUCUACUUAGUUUCACUCUAAAUUUAUAAAACACAAGAAAAGUUUAUAUUAAAAGAUGCGUAAGAUGAUAUUUUCGAGUGCCAGUAACAGUACUUUUAAAAAAAUUAUAGAAUUCUAGCUUGAGCACCGACCAGUCAUAAUAUAUGAAUCCAAAUGGGUAGGCUUUGGUAAUCCCACAAAAUCUUGUUCUUUAGCCAAACAAUUUCAUUUGGACUAGCAUGUAUAUGAUAAAGAAUCUUUUUGUGGUUUUGAAUGAAGAAAACCCCUACAAAGGCAUACCACCAUUCCAUGUGCCUCACAAUUAUUCGUUGUUAAUUUCUUUGUUUAUUUGUCAUGGCAGAAAACGAAACACCAUUAAAAAAGGAAGGUAAAGGUUGCCCAUUAUGUAGCUUAGUCAAACUUACUUUUUCUUUAGCAUAAAAUAUAUCAUUGCAUCCAAAAAAAAAAAAAAAGGAAGGCAAAACCUCUGGCCUCUCUUGGCUGAUUUUUGCAACUUACACAAAUGGUUGUCAAUCCUUGACACAUAUUACCUAGUUGAGGGAGUCCCCAGCCAGCCAUGUGUGAUCCGAUAUUGUGCCACUCCUCCCACUGAUCCUGUCUAUAAGACGACCAUCCGGUGGACUAAAGACGUUUUACUUGAGAUUGAUCGAAUCAAACACCGUUUGAGCUAUGAGAUCAUUGACAACAAUCUCGAGUUCAAGUCUUACGUUGUAGUAAUGCAAUUGAUCCCGGUCAAUGGUGAAGAAUGGUGAAGAUGGUAGCACGUGGUACAAGAUCAAGUGGUCGUUUGUUAGUGACCCAGUUGAGGGAUGGAAAUAUGAUGAUAUUGAUGAGAUGAGGGACCUUACAUGGAUUUAUAAGAGGUUGGGCUAUUCUUCAUAUUGCCAAUUGGUUUUAUGGUGGAACCUCAAUUUUCUUCAUGGUAUCAGAGCAAAUUGUCCACAUGUGAAACCAAACGGCUAUAUGCACUCCACGUCACCCUGUUGUGUUGUCCACGUGUUAGCUUUGAAAUUUGCCACACGUGAGGGGGAAUGUUGAGAAUAUGUCUCACAUUGAUGGGAGAAUGGAUUGCAUGGGCUUAUAAGAGGUUGGGCUACUCUUCAUAUUACAAUUUAUUUUAUAAUGAAACCUCAACUUUCUUUAUUUUUGACACUUCUACGAGAUUGAUAGCAAAGAAUAUGGAGAAUGCUUUUCUAUCCUCUUUUGGGUGAACAUUGAUUGAUUUUCAUGCAAGUUAGACAUAUCUUAUUGUAGUGCAUAAUGAUUCAUUACUUUGUGUUUGAAAUAAUGUCUAAGUUAUAGGGCAUGUUUACUUGUCAUGAAAUGGAUAAACAACUUCCCAUAGUAAUUUCAUACUUGACUUUGAAUCAAGUCCAUUCACAUGUUUGAUUUUUAAUAAACCGUUGACCCUAAAAACUAUCAAGCCUACGUGGCGCGCAGACUGAGUAACUAAUGAGCUAACUACGUCCUUCGGUUGAUGCAGGGCGUGCUAACUCGUCGAGCGAGUUUGGCUGAGGAGUAAAAUGUGUUGAUAUUGCAUUGGGUGCGCUGCUGACUUCUGAAUGUCGCGACUGCGGCCGAGGAAGGAACACGUCUCGACCUUCCGGUUUUAGAGCCUAAAGACAAGGCUGCUAGUUCUGUGAAGUUUAAUAUCAAAUUCGGCUCUCAGAGUGCCGAAUAUAAUAACCUGGUAACACCUCACUUCACCGAGAAGGCUGAUGAGAUGACUUCUACCAGUCGACCUCAUCGCAAUGCUGUUUAUCCAAACUGAAGGUGCUUUGCAGUCGGUUGAUUCUACGGCAACAGUGUUGUUUAUAAAAAUUGAAGAUGUUCGCCGGUUGCCUUCACAGUGUUGUUUAUCCAAACUAAAUAUGUGUUGGUGAAAAAGAAAAUAAAAAUCUCAAGAUGUUUUAGAGGUUUCGCAAAGAGCGAGGGUUUGCGCAGGGCAGUUUGUGUGUUAUGUUGAAGAGGCCCCUUUGUGUUGAACUGUUUCUUGUAUUUAUAGGGAUGAGUACGCGGUUGAUAAGUUCUGAAGCUCCACCAUGCUACUAAAAUUCUUCCAUCGUCCAAGCUUUCGGUCAAAUCCUAAUCUCUUUAGUAUAAUCCGCAUGCAUCUUUAUCUUGUGCCUAUGCGAAGCCAAACGGUAUUUCAUGAUGAGACCACGUGUUUAAUGAGACGUAUUUCUAUCUCAAAUGAACUCUGGGUUGAUAUUUGCUUGGCUGAUGGUGUUCAACUACGACUUAAACUCUAGGAGGAAAACUGAUUCGUUUGUCAUCUAUGACUUUUCAAACAAACUGAAAAGCCUAUCUAGGAAUCACAUCAUCACCAAAAGCCUAGCUUUCCUAGACUACCUGUCUCAUCCGUCACCCAAAACCAUCAUCUUUAUUGUUGCAUGCAUCCUGACCCAAACCAAAUGAAUUUUAAAUUCAUUUUGAAUUGUGCCACACAUCCACAUCCAAACAUCCACAUUAAUUUGAAUUGUCCCGCUGAUUCCUAGCUUGAAGAUAUAUUAUUUUUAUAAGCAAAUGUCAAGAUAAAUCAUUAUUAAAAGAUAAUUAUGAUAAAAAUCAUAAUGUUAUCUUUUAAUAAAAUUAUCUUUACUUUUUCAUUGACGGUGUGGAGGUAUGCUUACUCAACGGCCUCGAUUACUUGGGCCGAUAGUGUAAUCUUGGAUCCAAACAUAAACAUAAGAAUAAAAUGAUACUCGUUCCUUGCAAAACCAUUUCUCCAAAAAAAGUAGCCCUUAUAUAGGCAAAGAAUAAAAGGAGUACAUGACGCAGCACAAAGGAAGAAGGAUUACAAAUUUAAAUCCCUGAAUAACUGAUAAUCUGGAAUCCACCAGUUCUUUUAGAGUAAUUUCAAAAGAUAAUUUGCUUAAUUGAUAAAUUGAUUGAAAGAUGAUUACAAGAAAAGCAACCAAUGACUUAAAAACCAGAUUAACUCCCUAGGAUAACUCAAAAGUCUUAAGAAAUUAAGACGAAAGUAAAUGUCAUUAAUCAGACUACAAACAAAAAGUUCACUUUUUUUUUUUUACAGAAUUUAAAAUGCAGUUUUGGAAGCCUAAACAACAUAUCAAUUGAAUCCAACACUUUCCAACUUUAAUUCUUUUUUUUUUCUUUUUUUUUGAUAAUUUGAAACAUUUUAUUUCCCUUAUAUUUAUUCGUCAAAAUUAACUCAUAUCUUGUCCUUUACAUCAAUACAUCAUGAUGUUUGAACACAUCUACGAUGAAUGUAACUUCACCAUUCGACCAGGAAAAAGGUCAAAAAUUAACUAGUUAAGUUAAAUCACUAACCACGGUGCUGCUCAUGUUUGAUUGCUUGAACAUAGCACGUGCUUGACUGCUAGUGGAAAUUCAGAUCGAGUAAUAUAAUACUGGUAUAGUUGUUUUCCGUUUUGGUUUCUUAAUAAUUAUAGUUUUUAUUUAGAAAACGAAUACAUUAUUCAAGGUUAAAUGAAUAAGUACAAAGGAUAUGACACAUUUAUAAUAAAAAUCUUACGAGAGAUUUCAAGUUGAUCAAAGAAAAAAAAGAGUAGCAUUGCGUGAAACUACAUAUUAUUGAUAUCCUCUAAUAACAAAUCUCCAAGCAAGUUUGAUAACAAGUUGUUUCAAAUAUGAUAUUUUACCCUUGCGAAGCAUGAAAUUAAGGGCAAAAUCACAUGGUUGUUUAAAUUCUUUAGUGACUCUUUCAUUAAAAAAAUGACAAAAUAACAAGUUGUGAGGUAACUGAAACGACUAGCAAACUGAGCAAUUAAUACCAUAUGAACGAGAUUAAAAUUUGAGUCAAACGAACCAAAUAUGUCAAAACCGACACAAGUAAUGCUGAUCAAUGCAAAGAACCUGUACGUAUGCACAAAUAAGUUUGAUUGGCAAUUUGGGCAGAUCUUAUCUAACACAUGUUAGUUGAAUCAAUUCUUUUAUGUAAUUUCAAGAAAUUAUACGUAGGUUGUGUCAUGAAUCCGUCGUAUAUGCACUCGUAUGCAUAGUUCAUUUUAAGUUUCUCCUUGCCUAAAAAUUACAUAAACAACUAGAGUCUAUUUGGAUGAGGGUCUAAUUAAGGAGGGAUCUAGAAGACACGUGAUUAGAUUAAGGGAUUAAAACAGGGUUUUACUAAUUAAGGAGGGAUCAAAACCGGUGCGAUGUGUCCAUUUAAGCCCAUCAUCAGAGUCUCCUCAACCCUCUUCCACCAAACCUCCCCUCUCUAUCUCUCUCUCAGAUCAAAUGGAGCAGCACUCAGAUCCAAAGUGGGAAGCCAAGGUUUCUGCAACCCUAAAAGAUGCCACAGUGGACCAGAUAUGGCCUCUCUUCAAAGACUUCUUUAAUUUCCACAGGUGGUUUCCAACCCUAUCCACUUGCCAUGGGAUUCACGGAACCAACGGUGAACCCGGCUGUGUCAGAUAUUGCUCGGGGUUCUCAAUCCCCUCCAAAAGUGGCGAGAAGUCCGUCAGCUGGUCCAAGGAACGAUUAAUAGCCGUUGAUGAUGCUGACCAUAGUCUGAGCUACGAGAUCGUGGAGAGCAACCUUGGGUUCAAUUCGUACGUCUCGACGUUCAGGAUUGUUCCGCGUGGGGAUAUUGAUGGUCGAGAUGGGUGCGUGAUCGAGUGGUCCAUAACCGUUGAUCCUGUGGAAGGGUGGGUUUUCGGUGAUCUGGUGAGGAAGUAUGAGUCUGGGUUGCAGAAAAUGUCUAAUAGAAUAGAAGAUGCAAUUUGUAUUUGAACAUUACUUAAAUUAUCUCAUCACAGCAUUACGCCAAGACGCCAAAUUUGAAUUCCCUUGUUAUUGUGGAUAAACAAUGCAACACAUGCAUCAGUCUCUGGAAUACUUUUGCUCACCCCCUAAAAUGACGGUAUACUUAAUUGUCAUUAGCUUAUUUAAUUUUAACAUUAGUAUUUUAUAUCAAUUAAACUAAUACUUAUCUAAUAGUAAUUAAUAGGGGGUGAGCAUUUUUUGAGGUGAACAAAAAUGCACUCAUCUCUCUCAUAGGCACUAAUUAUGUAGUCAGUUUAACUGUAUAUUUAACAAGUUAUAAAAUCAGAAUGUUAUUAGGCCAUAUGCAUUAUCUGAGGCUUAAAGCAUAUUAAGUGAGUGACAACUAGUGUAUAUGUUUGCUAGUGGCAUAUUGUAUUGAUUUUAUAGGUCUUCUUCUUUAACCUACUAAUUUAUCGGUUUAAACCCACAUUUAUUUCUAGUUUGGUUUAUAGUAGUGAUAUUGUUUGUAAUUAAAAACUCUAUAUUUGUUUAACUGUAAAGAGCUGCUACUAACACUCUAAAAAUGUCUACAUCAUUUCACUCUAAAUUUGUAAAAUACAAGAGAAGUUUAUAUUAUAAGAUGUGUAAGAUGAUAUUUUAAAGUGCCAAUAACAGUACUUAUAAAACAAUUAUAGAAUUCUAGGUUGAGCACCGACCAGUCCAAAUGGGUAGGUUUUGGUAAAUCCCACAAAAUCUUGUUCUUUAGCCAAACAAUUUCAUUUGGACUAGCAUGUAUAUGAUGAAGAAUCUUUUUGUGGUUUUCAAUGCAGACAACCCCUAUAAAGGCAUACCACCAUUCCAUGUUCCUCACAAUUAUUUGUUGUUAAUUUCUUUGUUAAUUUAUUUGUCAUGGGAGUAAACCAAAUUAACACCAUUAUUAAAAUGGGAAGGCAAAACCUCUGGCGAGCUCGAAGGCCAAGCAGCGGAACAAGUUUGGCCUCUAUUAAUUGGCUGAUUUUUGCAACUUACACAAAUGGUUGUCAAUCCUUGGCACAUGAUACCCCUAGUUGACGGAGUCCUCGGCCAGCCGGGUGUGUUCUGAUAUUGCGCCACUCCUCCGACUGAUCCUGCCGAUGAGACGACCAUCAAGUGGACCAAAGAGGUCUUACUUGAGAUUGAUCCGAUCAAAUUAACACCGUUUGAGCUGUGAAAUCAUUGAGAACAAUCUCGGGUUCAAGUCUUACGUUGCAGUAAUGCCAUUAGUCCCUGUCAACGGUGAAGAUGGCAGCACGGGGUGCAGGAUCGAGUGGUCGUUUGUUAGUGACCCAGUUGAGGGAGGGAAAUAUGAUGAUCUUCGAGCUUUUUUUUUUUGACACUUCUAUGUAGGGGUGGGUUCAAAAAACCGAAAACCGAACCGAACAGAAACCGAAAAAACCGAACCAAACGAAAAAAUUGAACCGAAUUGAAAAAACCAAACCGAACCGAACUCUUUUGGUUCGGUUUGGUUUUGAUGGUCUAGAAACCGAACCGAACCGAAAUAAUUAAAUUAAUAUUUUUUAAAUUUUAUUUAUUUAUUUAAUUAUUUGAUUUUAUUAUAUUAGAAUAUGAUACUUCGGACUGCUGCUUUGGUAGGACUUGUUUGCUUUCCAAUUCAAAUUGUCUUCUCAGCUUCUCCAUCUGCAACAAAAAUUAGAACUUAUACCAGUACAAGCAAUAUUUGUAGUUUAUAUCAUUAAGUGCAACACAUAUAUAAGAACACAUAUCUCAACAGCAUUGCAGUUGAUUAGGGAAAGCAAACAGCGUAUAAAAGUCUCAUGAGUUUAUUAAACACUACGAGAUCAGAAACAAAAUUCAAACUUUCUCACCUAUGGCCAAGUAUAGUAGCUUCCGUGGCCUAACAAUUUUGAAAAGUAUAUCAAUAUAUUCAAAAAUAUUGAUGAACACCUCUUCAAAAUUUGCUGGUGGUAGAAGCUGAACACAGAAUAUAGAAAUUAUAUUAUGUAACCACAUAUAUGGAUAAAAAAAAUUCGGACCACAAAGAUAAAGAAAAUAUAAAAAAUUGUUACCUAGACAAUAAUCAAAAUAAAUAGUAUAUUAUAGAAUGUUUAUCGUGUUGCUAGUGAAGAAUACAAGUAUAUAUAUAUAUAUAUAUAUAUAUAGAGAGAGAGAGAGAGAGAGAGAGAGAGAGAGAGAGAGAGAGAGAGAGAGAGAGAGAGAGAUUGAGAGAAAGAGAGAGGUCAUACUCCAUCAUCAUCGUGUAAAAAAAAAUCUAUUUACAGUUAAACAUUAAACCCAAAAUAUUUAAAAAAAAACCUUUAUGUUAUAAUUCCAGUUGAACUUUAAAUGUUUAUUUUCAUUAUCUUUAAGUCUAGUCAGAAUAUUUAUGUUAUAAUUGUGUUGGAUAUUUUAAAAUUUAAGAUUUCAAAUUUUUUUCAUUUUUUGAAAAAAAAACCGAAACCGAACAGAAAAAAACCGAAAAAAAAUUGAACCGAACCGAAAUUUCGGUUCGGUUUCAGUUUUGGCAAAAAACCGAACCGAUUUGAACCAAACUCACCCCUACUUCUAUGGGAUUGAUGACAAAGAAUAUGGAGAAUGCUCUUCUAUCUUCUUUUGGGUGAACAUUGAAUUGGUUUUCAUGCAAGUUAGACAUAUCUUAUUGUACUACGUAACGUUUCCAUUACUUUUUGUUGAAUUAAUGUCUACGAUUUAGGGUAUGUUUAUGAGAUGAAAUAAACAACUCUCCAUGAUAAUCUCAUACUUGACUAUUCAGGUAUAAGAUACCCAAAUACAUUUUUUUUUUCAUUCCUUAAUUGUUACUAAAUCAACUGUUGAGGCUCAAAAAAGUCAUAUGCAAGUCCAAUCAAGUCUCAAAACCCAAUUGUUAUACAAGGCUCAAGCCAAGCCCAAAAUACAUGCCAAGAUGUGGAAUCGAGAAGGGGUUAUAUCAGUAAUCAUGCCAUGCUACAUUAAUUAAGUCAUGCAUUUGUGUAAAUCACACCACAAUCAUGCAAGUCCAUGCAUAUUUAUCAUGUCAUGCCUUAUCACACUAAAGUAAGCCUAAGUUACAUGUCCAGGGCUUGUCAAGUGAAUUGUGGUGUGGAUGGUUACAGAAGUUUGUCGGACGUAUGUGGAGUCAAGAUUAUGGAAGACUUUGGGUUGCUUGGGAGCCCAAAGAUCCAAGCCCAUAACGUUUGUGGUCCACAUGGGCAAGUUUGAGAGAGAACCAGCCUAAUUUCCUUCUUUCCUCACCAAGGUAACCAACUUAGUUAGGAAGAAACCAAGACUUAACCCUAAAGUCAUUUGAAAGCCCAGUAAAGAGGCAUGUAAUGAAGGAAGAGGUUGAAUUUCCUUUCCUAACUCACACUGAAGAUCAACACCUGAAAGCUAAAAGACACGUUAUAGGAAGUAACGUCUGUAGAAGGCUGACCCAGGAAAGCCGCACCUUGAGAAGAAUGUCCACUGUAGGUUUCAUGAGAUCAACAGAGCCUAGCUUCCUUGCACCAAAAGGGAAAUGGCAGAAGAACAAGGGAAAAGAAGGAGGGAAGAUCAAACCACAAUUAGAGAUUCCUUAGGAAACCUAGAGGGGAAUCCUUCACCUACAAAAAGAGAGAUUAGAAGCCAAUAAGAGGGAUCCCAAUAACUCAACCAAAGAAGACAGAGGUUCACACGUUAGAGGGAAGAACACAGAACCAUCUUCCCACAACCUUACAGUUCUCCCCUAGACUUCUUUCAGCCCUUUCAGUUAGGGAAAACCUCUUUAGAACUCAGGAAGCCCGGAUUACCCAACCAAAAACUCCACGCAACCGUGCAAACUCUCUCUCUCUCUCUCUCUCAUGCUAAAUGGAUGACCUUCUAGCUUCCACACCAUACCUUACUUGAGCAAGCCAUUAUUUGCUUAAUCAUGCUAAUCUUCAAGUCAUUGAUCUAACCGCGAUAUUUGCUAAGACGAGCUAACUCUUUUGACAUAUUAUGGGACUUGGUACAAAACUGAACCAAGAGAGACAAGAGGACGUUCUCAAAACCCCAGUCCACCUUGACCUAAAAGUAACCCUAAAACCAACGAAUCGGAAUCAAGUCCAUUCAAAUGUUUGAUUUUUAAUAAACAUAAAAAUAAAAUGAUACUUAUUCCUUUCAAAUCCAUUUCUCCAUAUAAACAUGCCCUUAUAUAGGCAAAGAAUAAAAGGAGUACAUUCAAAGACGGCGGUAGCUAAGGCCAUUGGAGGCAGCUGCCCUCACUGAUGUUUUAUGUAGAGGGAAAAAAUCAAGAUGGCUACAGAACUUGAAUUUAUCAUAUUUAAGUAUUUUAACUAAUGAGUUGAAAUAUUCAAAUAAAUGUGUACUUGAAUUUGUUAUAUUUUAGUACUUUAAUUGAUUAGUUAAAAUAUUCAAAUAAUAUGUAUAUAUAAUAAGCUAUUAUUAGGAAAUAAUGUCUGCAAGUUGGUUUAAUGAAAUUUAAGAAGAAAAGAAAAGCAAUGAAAUUAUAGAAGAAAUUCGAAUUUCUUUGAGGUUAAGAGAUAGACCCCGCCAUACAAAGUUUUUAGCUCCCUCCUUAAGUACAUCAUGAUGUUUGAACACAUCUACCAUGAAUGUGACUUCACCAUUCGACCAGGUAAAAAGUGAAAAAAAAAAUUAAUUAGUUAAGUUAAAUCACUAACCACGGUGCUGCUUAUGUUUGAUUGCUUGGACGUAGCACGUGCUUGACUACUUGAACAUAGCACGUGCUUGACUGCUUGUAGAAAUUUAGAUCGAGUAAUAUAAUACUGGUACGGUUGUUUUCCGUUUUUGAUUUCUUAAUAAUUAUAAUUCUUAUUUUGAAAACGAAUACGAUAUUCAAGGUGAAACGGAUAAGUGCAAAGGAUAUGACACAUUUAUUUUGACCUUGAUAAAAUAUUUGUCUGGAGAUUUCAAUCCGGUCAAAUAAAAAAAGAGUAUCCCACAUCAAUCUAUUACAAGUUAUUGAGACAAAUCUCCAGUCAAGUUUGAUAACAAGUUAUUUAAAAUAUGGAACUUUAACGAAAAGCUUGCGGUAUUGUUCAUUUUAACGAAAAAGCACAUUUUUACAUUAAAAUCAAUCAUGAUAUUAUUCACUUUACCCUUUAUUUUGUCCUUAUCGUUAAACUCAAAAUUUUCAAAACCUUUUCGUUAGUUUUCCUUUUAAAAUAUAGUCUUUUACCCUUGCAAACAGGAAAGGGCAAAAUCACAUAGUUGUUAGUGAUUCUUUCAUUAAAUAAAUGAUAAAAUCACAAGUUGUGAGGCCAACAGGAUUCUUUCCAUAUUCUUUUUGUAAAAAUUCUGGAGAUUCGUGAAUCGUGUUCGUUUAUCGUAUAUGAUGAACGAAUAUGAUUCACGAAUUUCUAGAAUCCUCACAAAGAGAAUCCAGCGAAAAUCUAGAUUCUUGGUGUGGUAACUGAAAUGACUAACAAACUGAGCAAUUAAUACCACAUGAACGAGAUUAAAAUUUGAGUCAUAUGAGCCAAAUAUGUCAAAACCGAUGCAAGUAAUGCUGAUUCAUGCAGAGACCCUGUAAGUCUGCACAAAUAGGUUUGAUUGGCAGCAGAUCUUAGCCAACACACGUGAGCUGCAUCACAGUUUAUGUAAUUUGUGAUUAUACAUAAAUAGUGUUAUAGACCCGCCCCAAUAUAUACACACAUAUUUAUAGUUCAUUUUAAGUUUCACCUGCCGAAAAAUUACAAAAACAACUAAGAGCCUAUUUCGAUGAGGGAUUAAAAAGAGGAUUUGGGAUUGGAAUAGCCUAAAAGGGGUUUUGGAAGUUCUAAUAUUCAAAGGAGUGUGGAUUUCUCACACUCUUAUAAUUUUCAGUUGUCGAAUCGGAUAAAUUAAAGAGAUCAAAGAAACAAAGCAUGUGUGAGAAAUAAAAAGUGAUGUGUAGAUAGCACACCACAUUUUUAAACACCUUGUUUGGGUAAAAUUAAGGAGGGAUCUAGACGACUAACAUUAUACAACCUCUAACAUAUAUAACCACAUUAUUGCCAAAGGCGAAUUUAAAACACAUUAUUGCUAGCUUAUUGUGAGGUGUAACGCACUCCCCACCCAUUUAAUCUAGAUAAUAUUGUUUGUUAAAAAAAUGAAUAUCCCUAGAUACUAACUCAUAUACAUACUGUUGGAAUAUAUUAGUAUUUUAGGUAUUUUUUUUGUUUGAGUUUUCAUAUAAGUUUAGUUUGGGCCUAGCCUGUUAGCAUUAAGGUUAGAGUUAGUUUAUUAUAAAUAGAGUGCUUUGUUAUUCAUUAGAGAACAAGCUAUUCACAAUGUAGCAUCUUGGGUUAUAUAGCCGUCAUGGCAAUCUUUCGUUUACUUAAUAAAAUUAUAUUAGUUUAUAUUCAGUUUGUUCGUUUGUUCAUUGCGUACUCUGAUAUUCAAUUUGGUAUCAGAGCAGGUUAAAUCUUUCAAGAAUUAAUCUGUUUUGGGGUUGAUAUCGAUUUGUUUGUCUAUCUGUUUGUUCAGUAUCAGUUUUGUCUUUAGUUAGGGUUUUGUUGUUUGAAUAUGUUUGCUUGGGAGCCACUCAGCGUUGAACCUAGAACCGAAACCUGCACCAAAACCCAUUCCCCAUCCAGCCGCCUUCUACUCGCUUGAACUACCAGCACCACCUUGUGCAAAUUCCGCCACCACUUUCUACCCUGCCAUCUAAACCCACACUGAACCGAGCUCCGUUCAUUGCUGCACCAGCCUACACAGACCUAAGCGCACCACCAGUUCUCGGCAACAUGAACCUAGCACUCGCGGCGUAUUGUGUUGCAUAACACACCCCACCAGAAUCUGCACCAUUACCCUGUCUUCGCACCAUACCCGCUUCUCCUUCUAUACCUGACCAGAAUUUGCCACCGCUGCUGCACUCGUUCGUCUAGAAGAAAGGAAUAAGGAAAUAAGGAAACAGAAGCCAAAAAAAAUUUGAGAAGAAAAAAAAAAAUUGUUUGAGGUUUUGGCCCACACGGGCAAAGUGGAAAAAUGGGUUGUGGGCUGUUUGCCGCCCAUUUUUUGGUUGAUGUCUUUGAGGCCCACACGAGUUGUUGGCCUGUUUGGAAUUGUUUUGUUCGUUUGUUGGUACAAUUGAGAUAUGGAAAUCUCGUCCGUUUAGUAACAGGUGCGUUCCAUACUCUCAACUCUAGCCAGUUUGCCAGCCAGAAUCAAGAAUCAAGAAUCAAUUACUAUUUUGUUUGAGUUUUCUUAUAAGUUUAGUUUGAGCCUAACCUGUUAGCAUUAGAGUUAGGAUUAGUUUAUUAUAAAUAGAGUGUUUUGUUAUUCAUUAAAGAACAAGCUAUUCACAAUGUAGCCUCUUGGGUUAUAUAGCCGUCAUGGCAAUCACCUCUUUAACACAAAUUUUGACACAAUUUCUAAAUCAUUAGGUUAAAACGUCUUAAAAGUUUCUAUGCAAUGAAACCUCCAUAUGUUUUACCGAGAAAAUCUUAAAAGUUUCCAUGCAAUUGUAAUGCAGUCUAGCUAUGCUUACAUUUCUAGCCUCUAACGUGUUGAUCAUGUAGUUGCAAGUAUAUAUAUUCCACAUUGACAAAGUAAACCGCUAACCUACAAUUGAUAUUGAUGCUGGGGAGCCCUCCACUUAAUUGCAAAGGAAGGAAUAGGAAAACUUGCAAAAUAAAGAAAGUAAGAGAAGUGAUUUCUAAUUUUAUAUGUGUUGGUAAACACAUGAUCUGGUUAGGAAGCGAUUUCUCUACCUAUAUUUUAAAAACGUAGUGAAUCCAAGAAUCAUAAUUGUUCCAUGUCCAGUAAGUAGAUGUACCCCAAGACUCUGUAUUGUAUUUUGUUGACCAUAAUUAUAUUUUGCUGCUUGUAGUUAACUAAUUUGUUUUUGGGUCAAUGCACUUUAGUAUGUUUAUAUUUUUGAUAGUUGCACAAACCACCCCAUAAGCCUAUUAUAUACUUAAUUAACAUGGGUAUAAUAGGAUAAGUACAAUUACCCAACAAUAGGCAAAAGAAGAGAGUAAAUUUAGUGAGAUUUUAGGAAAUCAAGGAUGAAAGUGCUGGUAUUAGAGACUCAAACAAUUCUUUUUUAAAAAAAAUUAAGGGGAAAUAGAUACAUUUGAUUUGCAUAAGGGGUAAUGCUAGGGAGACUAAAUUUGGGGACUAAAUUAGCAAACUAAAUGAUGUGUUACUAAUAAGAAUGAGCACGUUUAUUUACGUUUAAGCAAUAAACCAAUAAUCAAUUUUCAUGUCUUUUAGUUUUCAAAAUUUAGUCUCCCUAACAUUACCCUUUGCAGAAAUGAUCAUUUUCAGUAACAACAUAUUGAUCACAUAUCGACGACAUAACGAUGAUAUAACCACAAUACAACAAUGAUAUAAUAACGACUGAUCAUUUUUGCAACAAAAUAACAAAUAUGUUUAUUGUAAUUAAUUGCCAAAAUUUAAUUAGCGUCAGAAUCCAGAUUAAGAGAUUUUGAGAUUAUUUAAGGGGUGUGCUAUCCACACACUCCAUUUUACUUCUCACACACCUCUUGAUAAUUUUUGUCCGUUAAUCUUCUUUAAUUCAUCCUAUCCGACGGCCGAAAAUUAAAAAGGUGUGUGAGAAAUAAAAUGAGGUGUGUGGAUAUCACAUCCCUUAUUUAAUAGAAGAAAAAUUGCUUAGAUUAAACCUUGUGUAAUAACAUUGUUGGAAAAUUACAAUAAAUAAUCUCUGUGAAUAUAUAAAAUACAACAAAUACAAUAAAUAAGAAAGAAGUCACCAAAAUGAUAGAGAUACGGCUUUGGUUGAGGCGUGGAGAAUCACUGUCUUUAAAGCCGAUGUUGCGCUCUCUCCCAAGUACCACGGUGCAAAAAGAUCUUUUGCGCGUUGACCUCCAAAAUUCAACAACCAAAGGACUUUGCUAGAUGUGAACUCGUAAUAACAAAAUUGAAGCAAAGCCAAAAGAAUAGUGCCCAACAAAAAAGAAGAAAACAAGAUUACAAUGAUUAACAAGUUAAAGAAUGAAAGUUCGGCUUUGUGUCCUAUUUUGUCUAAUAUAGCUUCGUUUCUUUUACCGCUAGUCUAAUAUUAUUCUUUUUUACUUGUAAGUGAAAAAAUCGUAAACUCAAAUUUUAUAAAUGACGAAUUUAUGACUAAUUUUAUUCCCACCAUACUUAAAAUCAUAUAUAGAUAGUUGUAUAUUUUUUUUUAUACCAAGUCAAAUUGAAUAUUUUUUCGUACAGUGCAAGUCAACUUUCCAUUUUUUGUUUUUUUUUUUGGCACAUAAGUCAACUUCCAUUUCACCUAACAUUUAAAUUUAUUAGUUAUGAGUGAAGCAUCUUUUUGAACCUUAUAAAUACAUCGUAUCACAAAUAAUGUUCCCUUAUAACCAAUCAUUCAUGUUUCCUUUGUUUCCUAGCUAUCUCUCUCAUCAUGCAAGAACCCGCAGAGUCCAGAAAAUGGGAGCGCAAAACAACCGCUGUGCUCAAAGCCUCAGCAGCCGAAAAAGUUUGGCCUCUCUUGGCUGAUUUCUGCAACUUACACAAAAUCUUCCCCAAACUAGCCACAUGUUACCAAGUCGAGGGAGUUUCCGGCCAACCGGGUCUGAUCCGGUACUGUGAAACUCCUCCUACCAAUCCCGCUGAUGAGUCGACCGUCAAGUGGGUCAAGGAGAAGCUACUGAUGAUUGAUCCAAUCAAAUGGUGCAUAAGCUAUGAGAUCAUUGAGAAUAACAUGGGGUUUCACUCUUACGUUGCUACCAUGCAAGUAGUGCCUACAAACGACAUUGAUCAGGAUGGUGUUUACGGGUGCAAGAUAGAUUGGUCUGUAGUUUGUGAUCCGGUCGAUGGAUGGAGAUCUGAAAAUCUUCAGGAGUUUCUUGAGUCUAAUCUUCAAUUGGUUGCAAAAACAAUGGAGCAUGCUCUUCUAUCUACUUAAAUAUACAUAGAUACAUAUAUAUAUAUAUAUAUAUAUAUAUUCAUGCUUUUUUUUAUCAGUCUUUUCAUGUUUAUGUAAUAUGUAAUAUGUCGAAUAAUUAAGGUUUUAAAAAACGCUCGCAACUAGUCGAGCGGUGGACAAGGGCCUAGCGCCCAAGCCGAUUUAUGUAAAUGUAUUAUAUAUCUUGUAAAUAAGUGUCUAUUUACACUUUAAAAAAAUUAUACUUGUAUGGAUAAUAAAAGAAUGAUAAAAUGCAAAAAUAGAAGUAGAAGAAUACACAAAGUACAUCCAUCCAACAAGUUCAAUAUUUAAAAAACAAUAAGCAUAUAAUCAUAAUGAUGAGUAUUCUUGGAUGAUAGACUAAAUUCUUCUUGUUCAUGAUCCUUGCAUUGGUUUGGAUGUAAACUAAACUAUUUAACGUUAUUGUAUCUAGUUUAUUUAUUUAUUUUUUUUUUGUAUGUAUCUCCUCAAAAGUUCUCCAAUUCAUUUCACAAUUGGAUGAACUUGUAGUCAAUCCAUCCUUUGCAAAUUAGGUACAUCAUUUCCAUAAAGUAUACCACCAUGAAACUAAAAAAUAAAAAAGCACACAAUUAAUAAAUAAAUAAAAAGAAAAAUCAAAUCCGCCUAGCUCCAGAUCAAUUUUUUGAAAUGAUUUUCCCUAAAUCCCGACGGGUCUUCACCGCCUAGGCCGAUUUUUAGAACACUGAAAAUAAUGACUUUGUACAGAAUAAAUAGUUAUGAUGUUUCUGAAACUAGCCAUCAUCAAAUUAGUAGUGUAAUAGUUUAAAUAUCAUAACCCCAUUUCAACUAAUAUCAAAAUCUUUUGUGAUAAAACCCCAUACAUGAAGGAUUGUGCGUGUGGUAUUUACCAAAUUGAGGACAGUAUCGGAGUUGAUGGAAGUGGACCUUCGACCCAUCUCUUUGAUUAUUCUAUAGACUUCACCAUUCUACAACCAUAUUCUUUGAUAUCGUUGCAUUAUUUUCCUAUCAAAUAUUAUUGUUGACUCAGUUUUUCUAUAUGCUGGUCAAUCAAAACACCCAUAUGUAUUGUAUAGUUGGAAAUACUUUUAAAAUAAUUAUAAGAGUUUCUUUAAAUUAUAAAAGUGCUUCUGAUGCUUUUUGAGAAAGCAUUUACAUUUUUAUUAAAAGUUUUGAUGUGCUUUUAAUGCAAACACUUAUGAACAAAAGUGUUUUUUAAAGAAGCCCUAAUUCCUUACAUUUAGUUAGAAAUAUUUACUCAAACAACACACAUAGGGUGUAAUCUAGUUACAAAGAAACUUUACACUUUUUCAAAUUACAUGCACCACUCUAACAGUGUGAAAAAAAAUUAAACAGUUUGAUAUGUUUUAAAUUUGGAUAACAUGGUUGAUAUUUUCGGAGUAUGAGGUAUAUUUAAAACACAUUUAUUUACUUUCCAUUCUUAUACAACUUCAAAAAUAAAUAAUCACUACAACAAAAUUGGCCACUAUGCACAAUAGAGGCCAAAAAGCACCAACAAUUGUGCUUAUAGACCAAUAGCAACAGUGUAGCUACUAUCUUUGUGUAUGUGCCCUUUAUGGGCGUCACCAUUGCUGAUAGCACACAAUAUGAUGUUUUGUGCUCAAAGAGGCAGGCACAAAUAGAUCACUAUUUGUGCCUCGUUUCUGACAACUUGUCAGACAACCUUUUCCAGACACGUUGGCACUUCAUAUUCUAAUUGUGCCAACACGAAUUAAAUAUUAAAAAAAAUUGAGGAAAUGAAAAUUUUUGAUUUUCUUAAAAUGAAAAGGCCUACAACACAUUCCCAAUCUCACAAACAUAAUGUAAUGUUACAUAUUUUAUCUCUAAUACAAUAAAACUUGAAAGCACAUAUUUUUGGACAGAUGCAUUUUCCCCAGCAAGCCUUGCACCUCAUCAGAAGCUAUAACAAAUAUAGUCGAAUUCAAAACAAAAUUAGUCCAAAAUAGGUAGGCCAGCUUGUCGGUGAUACUUAAAUCUUCAAAGCGUGGAAUGUCCAAAUAGGAAGGCUAGCUUGCUGGUACUUCCAAAUCUCUGGUAACAAGACGAACACACAAACAAAAGCCAGUACUAUUUAGUCUUUAGUAAGAAUAAUUAAAGAAAAAAGUGCAUCUUAUAUACAAUUCCAAGAAGACAUAGUAAAACUAUAAUGCAAAAUAGCAAACCCCUCAAGCCAUUUCUCCUUGCAGAGAUUGAUAAAAGCAUUUGUAUAUCUUCUAAAGAUACCAUCCAAUCGAUCCACCAAAAUAUCAAUAUCUUGUGGUUCAUGCAAUUAAACUAUGGGUAGGGCAAAAACAAGCUUUUAUGAUUUAGUUCUAUAAACUGAUUCAUACAGAUAAUGAAACCAAUAAUUCCUAAUACCAUUUGAAUUUGUCGGACGCCAAACAACCUUCAACCGCCACAGAUAACAUGGUAUUGACAUCCCUUGCUUUGACAGCCUCUAAAAAAUGACCAUGAGUAAGAAAUAUAUCAAGCAGUAAAAUACAUUAUCACAUUGGAUAUUACUGAAAAAAUGAACUAUAAAUUUAGACUACCAAGAAGCUCUUGAAAAUGAAGCUGACAUCAUUUACACAGAGCAACAAGAAUGAGUAUGUAAUGGCUUCCAAAUUUUUAAAUCAUGAUUCCUUUUCUUUACAUGAUCAGAUGCUAUAUAUCCUUCCUCCCACAAAUUAAUUGGUGUAAUUCUGCUAUGUAUACAUGCACUUGUUCGUGAUUGAAACAUAUAUGACUUUUGCCAGACACUUUAGUAACAUUUUUAAUUUCUUCAUGCAUGGCAAUCAAUCUUCACACAAAUUAACACAUGAAAAAAGCAAUCCACAGUCCCAAUAAUGCGACUCUACCUCUUUCGAAUGUAGAAUAAAAGAGACAACAACAAACAACAACAACAAAGCCUUUUCCCAUUAAGUGGGGUCAGCUAUAUGAAUCCUAGAACGCCAUUGCGCUCAGUUUUGUGUCAUGUCCUCCGUUAGAUCCAAGUACUCUAAGUCUUUUCUUAGGGUCUCUUCCAAAGUUUUCCUAGGUCUUCCUCUACCCCUUCGGCCCUGAACCUCUGUCCCGUAGUCACAUCUUCGAACCGGAGCGUCAGUAGGCCUUCUUUGCACAUGUCCAAACCACCGUAACCGAUUUUCUCUCCUCUUUCCUUCAAUUUCAGCUACUCCUACUUUACCUCGGAUAUCCUCAUUCCUAAUCUUAUCCUUUCUCGUGUGCCCACACAUCCAACGAAGCAUCCUCAUCUCCACUACACCUACGUGUUAAUGCUUCACCACCCAACAUUCUGUGCCAUACAGCAUCGCCGGCCUUAUUGCCGUCCUAUAAAAUUUUCCCUUGAGCUUCAGUGGCCUACGACGGUCACACAACACGCCGGAUGCACUCUUCCAUUUCAUCCAUCCAGCUUGUAUUCUAUGGGUGAGAUCUCCAUCAAAUUCUCCGUUCUUUUGCAAGAUAGAUCCUAGGUAGCGUAAACGGUCACUCUUUGGUAUUUCCUAAUCUCCGAUCCUCACCCCUAACUCAUUUUGACCUCCGUUUGCACUGAACUUGCACUCCAUAUAUUCUGUCUUUGAUCGGCUUAGGCGAAGACCUUUAGAUUCCAACACUUCUCUCCAAAGGUUAAGCUUCACGUUUACCCCUUCCUGCGUUUCAUCUAUCAACACUAUAUCGUUUACGAAAAACAUACACCAAAGAAUAUCAUCUUAAAUAUUAAGUUUGUGAUCUUCGCUAGAUUGCUCCGGUCAUUAGUGUGGAUAAGUAUGUAAAUGGAUAGAGACAGGAAGCAAACACAAGAUGUACGUGGUUCACCUAGAUUGGCUACGUCCACGGAGUAAAGGAGUUCUCAUUAAUUGUGAAGGGUUUACACAGUACAUAGGUUCAAGCUCUCCUUUAGUGAGUACAAGUGAAUGAUUUAGUACAAAUGACAUUAGAAAAUAUUAUGGGAGAAUGAUCUCGUAAUCACGAAACUUUUAAGUACCGAAGUGUGGUAUCGUCUUCACUUGCCUUAUCUGUCUCAUAGGUAGAUGUGGCAUCUUCUUUGGAAGUACUCUUCCUCCCUCCAGGGGUGGUAUCUUUAACUGGUGGAGAUGCACAAGGUAAUGUAUCAAUUUCACUUGACGCUUCCUUGUAGUUUCAGGCUUGGUCAAGCACGAUACAAACCAUGUAGUAGGAGUCUCCCAAGUUGCCGAGCUAGGGGAUAUGCUGAAAGAGGUGAUAGACAAGGUAAGCAAUCAGAGCUCCAAGCAAUCAGUCCCAGAUCAGAAGUUUGAUUUCGAGUUUUGGCUGAUUGUUAUCCUUCUCCUUAUCUUGCAGGCAGCAUGAAGGAUAAAGAGAAGAAAAUGAGAAAAUGUGAUAUGAGAUACUUUUGCUUUUGAAGAAGUAACUUUCCACAUGCUUAUUCUUGAACUGGGCUGGAGGGUUUUCUGGUUUCCGUCAGAGUAUAAGGCCGACUGAAGAAUUUGAGGGUCAAAACAAGUCCAUCAAAUCUAAAGUACGUUCGACCCUGCUGAUAUGGGAUACUUUUGCUGUUGACAAAGUAGUGGAUGUAUCGGCACGUGUUCUGUUGCGCUUGUCUCCACAUGCUUCCUUGUAUCCUUCUCACUUGCCCUAUUUGUUCCUCAGGCAGAUGUGGUAUCUUUUCGGGAAGCAUAAGAUGUUGAAGAUGAGUACUCGAGAGCAAUGCCAGGUAAGUAAUCAGGUAAGGGGUUUCAGGCAGUCAGUUCCGGACUGGAAGCUUGAUUCCAAGUGCUGACUGAUUGCUCUCUUUCUCCUUGUCUUGCAGGUAAGAACAAGGCCAAAGGAAAGGACAGGGAAAAAGCAUGAUAUGGGAUACUCUUGCUUUUAACCCUGAUGAUAUGAGAUAUUCUUGCUCUGGUGUAGCUUGUUUGCAGAGGUAUUCUCAGGGGGAAAGAAAGCUGAGUAUUUCGAGAGGCUUCGUUGGGAGUGCCCUGUCAAAUAUGAGGAAGGGUUGAGCAUUUUUGCAGGUCUGCAUGUCCGUUGAGGAUGGAGGUCGACAUAUAUAGGAGUCUCCCUAACAACAAGGAGUAAUGCUAUUCCUUUACCCUGCUUGGUCAUAGCACGGUAGUGGGAGCUGCCAGCUUCACGUGUUUUAACUCUGUCAGAGCACUUUGAAAAAGUGGUCUGUGGUAUCUGGAAAGCUGAUGUUACGUGUGAAGAUUAUAGACAAGCUUUAUCCAAAAAGAUCUGGCUCUCGAAGUUGAGAAAACGGUGUGAGGAUUACAGACAAGCUUUAUCUAAGGGGCUCUCGAAGUUGAGAAAGCGGUGCCUCUUCGAUUUUCGAACAAGCAAUCCUAUCGGGGAUCUGUCUCUCGAGAUUCGAAGAACGGUGCCUCUUCGAUGUUUGAGAAAGCAAUCCUGUUAGGAGUCUGGCUCUCGAGAUUAGGAGAGCGGUGUCUCGUCGCUUUUUGAGAAAGUAAUCAUGUUGGAAGUCUGGCUCUCAAGAUUCGGAGGGCGGUGCCUCUUCGAUCUUGAAGCAAGCAAUCUUGUUGGGAGUGUUUUCUCGAAUGUGAGUACAGGUUAGGCCUGUUUGCUAGUCUACCUUGCCACGGAGCACAGAGGUUGACAUACAGGGACUUUCCAAUUAUCCAACAGUGGUCCUGUUCCUUUACCCUUGUGGGUAAUAAUAUGGUAGCUAGACCUUCAAAAUUUAUGUGUCUAAACUUUGUUAGUGCUGUUUCUUUGCUAUUCUUUUACCCUUCUUGGUCAUAGCGAUGUAAUGGGAGCUGCAAGCUUCACGUGUCUAAACUUUGUCAGAGAUUUUUGGCAAAGUUAUCUGUGGUACCCGUGAGCUGAUGUUGCGUGUGGAAAGUGGAUGAUUGAACAGUAACAUUCACGUGCUUUCUACUUCACCAGAAAUCUUCGACAGAAUGCCCGUAAUUUCCGCAAAGUUGAGUGUACAUGUGACAGGUGCUGACAAGGCUGAAAAAGCAGGUGCCUCUUCAAUUUCUGAGAUUGGCCCUUAUGGUCUCUGAGUAGCCCAGCUUUUGAGAAAGCAAGCGCCUUUUCGAUUUCUGCGAUCGACCUUCGUGGUCUUUGAGCAGCCCAUCUUUUGAGAAAGCAAACGUCUCUUCAUUUCCUGAGAUCGGCAUUCGUGGUCUCUGAGCAGCCCAAGUUUUGAGAAAGCAAACGCCUUUUCGAUUUCUGAGCAGGCGCCUCUUCGAUUUCUGAAGCUCCAUCGAGUGCAGAUUUUUAUAGAGGCUGGUAUUAAGUUCCAAAGCACACUUGAAUCUCCACUAGUAGAAGCUCCCUUCUUUCAUUUCUAAGAUCUUGAUUUAUCCGACCUCUUCUCUCUUCAACACCUUUGAAAAUGUUUGGCCCUUCCGACUGACUUGAACCUUGUUGAAGAGGCAGCCACGCCUUCUCCAGACAACAUAUGGCGCCCAUCCUUCUUAUCCCCUACUGGUCCUCUUACCGUUGGGGAUUCCGUGAUGAAGAAUGAUAUGACCGCUGCGGUGAUGGCCAGGAACCUUCUCACUCCCAAAGAUAACAGACUACUUUCCAAACGGUCUGAUGAGUUGGCUGUUAAGGAUUCUCUGGCUCUCAGUGUUCAGUGUGCAGGUUCUGUGUCUAAUAUGGCCCAACGCCUAUUUGCUCGAACCCGCCAAGUUGAAUCAUUGGCGGCUGAAGUGAUGAGUCUCAAACAGGAGAUUAGAGGGCUCAAGCAUGAGAAUAAACAGUUGCACCGGCUCGCACAUGACUAUGCUACAAACAUGAAGAGGAAGCUUGACCAGAUGAAGGAAUCUGAUGGUCAGAUUUUACAUGAUCAUCAGAGGUUUGUGGGUUUGUUCCAAAGGCAUUUAUUGCCUUCGUCUUCUGGGGCUAUACCGUGUAAUGAAGCUCCAAAUGAUCAACCUCCGAUGCCUCCUCCUUCUAAGGUGCUGUCCAGUAUUGAGGCUCCGAAUGAUCCCCCUCCGGUGCCUUCUCUUUCUGGGGCUCUACCGACUGCUGAAGCUUCUCCUAAGCAACCUUUGUGAAGACUCCCUCUUGUUUGUUUAUUUUGACUCAUGUAUAUGUACAUAUUUGUAACUUAUUGGAGAUAUCAAUAAAUAAGCUUUGUUUCAUUUCAACGUAUUGUGUUAAAUACACCAAAGCCUUCUUCGCUAAGUUCUUUGAAUUUUUCUUUUGUUGAAGCUUUGUGAGUGGAGCAUGUAGGUUGAGGUAGUGUUCCCUUAAUUUCCCGAGUGGGGAAAACUUCUCGAUUGGAGACUUAAAAAAAUCCAAGUCACUGAGUGGGGUCGGCUAUAUGAAUCUUAGAACGCCAUUGUGCUCAAUCCUGUGUCAUGUCAUCCGUUAGAUCCAAGUACUCUAAGUCUUUUCUUAGAGUCUCUUCCAAAGUUUUCCUAGGUCUUCCUUUAUCCCUUCGGCAGUUGGUCUAGAGUUUAAUUGACAGAACACAUAAGUGUAAUGGAAAAAAAAUGCACAUCUUGUCAUGGGCAUCACAAUUAACUGUAAGACAUUGACUAAUUUUCACAUUCAAUGAUAAUGACGUUAUCCUAUAGUCAAAUUGAAACUUCCCCAAAAGAAACCUAAUGUAAAUUACCUAAAUCAGAGUCAGAUCUGAGCAAAAAAAAUUAGGGAAUAUCUUCUAUAGUCAAAUUGAAACUUCCCCAAAAGAAACCCAGUUAAAAACAGUCAAUAAAUGAAGAUUUACAUAAUUUAAUUAUCACAUAAACACCAGUCAGCGAUCAUGAAUUCGAAAGUAGAAAUACUAAAACAAAGUACUACUUAGAAACCAAAACACAUUAAAAUUGAAAAAUCUUAGAAAAAGAUUACUUGAUUUUACCAACGUGAUCUCCGAUUCAGGCUAUACAUCCACCGAUCUUCCCAAACUCGACACACCCCCUCCAUAUAAGUAUUCGUGCACAUAGAGAAAUUUCAUGUAAACAUACAAUGUGACGACCCGUCCCUGAUUUUACGUUUUUAUUAAUUUUUAAAAUGUGAAUUUACGAAAAUGCCCUAGGGACGAAGGCUUUGACUUCUGUUGACCAUUGGUUAGAGAGACGUAUGACUUAUUCUUGUAGCAUAUCCUCGUAGUACUCGUUGGUACGAACGCAUAGGAAAAAGCCAUUUGCGAGUCCGGAUUAGAACUGUAUAGUUACAGACAUUUGAAAUUGGUUACUUGUUAGGAUAAUUUUGAACUCCCACUAGGUGGGAAUAGUGGACCAAUUAAAUUAAAGGGACAAUGAACCAAUUAGAAGAGAGGGAGAGUGCAACAACCCAAUCAGAAAUCAGGAAAAGAAGAACAAAAGAAAGAAAGAAAGAAAAAAAAAAGCUCCCAGCUUUCCGUGCACCCACACCCACACCCAUUGCGACCACCCAUCUUCCAAGGCUAAUUCCAGCCAACUCCGGUGGAGUUUUUCGACGCCAGCACCACCAUCUUAAAUUUCUCAUUCCCCUCUACAAAACCCACCCAAGAACCACCUUUAGAAACCACCACAUGUGGCAGGGCAAAGCUAUGAAAUCAAACCCGUCAAAACCGUGUUCGGCCACUCUUUUCAAUUCUUCCGGCAAAUCGGCAAAGUGAUGGCUGAUGCCACCACUUAGGCUUUGUAUCCCAUCAUCCCAGGAGAAAAUCCCAACCAACCUUGACCCCGUUGGUCCAUCGUAGAUGACGAAUCAACGGCGGGAAAUUUUAGGCACCGCCGGCUUUGUGGGCAAAAUUGACCAUCUUCCGUCUACUUUUGGACUUCAUGGUAGGUAUGAAAUUUGUGCAUCUCUUUGAGAUCUUCAUUUCUAUAAAAUUUGAGAAUUUUAGAAAUAGUGGAAUUUUCUGACGAACUGUGGCGGCCAGCCACCACCGCCGCGGCACGUGCAGUAACGGCCUGGCCAGUGGGCUGACGAUGUCCUUUUGAGUUCAAUUAGAUGUUCUGAUGUCAUAAUUGAUAUCCAUAUGAUGUGGUUUGAUUGUUUGAACUUAGUUUCAUUACGAUACAUCACUUGACCUUUAUACGAAUAGAUGAUUCGUCUGUUCGAUCAUCACCAAACUUUGAUACAUAUUAGUACGUAAUAUUUGAGGAUCAUAAAAACUUACGGAUCGGGAAUCCGACGUACGGAUAUUCCCGAAUUAGAUUUGUAAGUUCAUAAAAUAAAAUGUUGACCGCCACAUGGUUUUUGGCAAUUGGUAGAGAUCCGACCGUUGGAUCGUAAUGAAAUUUAGGAUGUUGUUUUAGAAGCAUAAUGUGGAUCUUUGGAAGUAACGGAUCAAAAAUCCGUGAUCUGGAUCUUCCGGAUCAAAUCUUAGCUUGAUGGCAAAUAGAAUAUAUUUGUACUAUAUAUGAACACUUGGAAUUUACAGGUUACCCACUUGCACAUCACAUUCAUCAACUACCGUCAUGCAUUGCAAGACAACGAGGUGGAACCAGGCGCCCUAAACAAAAAUAAGACAACUAACUACUUCAAGUUUAAACCAGUAAAACGGAUGUGAAUCUUUUCAUAAGCUCUUCCAUAAACUUCCAGAAGCUACUUGUAACACUAGGAUGAAUUUAAGCAAAAAGAAAAUCCAAUCUUUGACAUGCAUACAAAAAAAAAAUCCAUACGUGGGUGGGUCUAAUUCUUCUCGGCCCAGGUUGGAAACAAACUUGAUUCACCUUCCUCGUCCCAAUCUUUGACAUGCACAUAGAAAAUUGAUUUAAAAUUCGAAAUCUAGAAUCGACCCCAAAACUAAAAGUUUUUAUUUUGGAAAACAACUUACAGUGGAAGACAGCCCACAAGGAGAGGAUCAUUUUUACCUCUUGGGUCGAGGUUCGAUUCCGACGGGUUUGGUAGAAAAUUUGUCGGAAAAUCACCAGCCAUCGCUUCUUAGAUCUGAAAUUGACGAAAUUCGGCUACGAAUUUGUAGAAACUAACUUGGGGGUUGGAAGGAGGACGUGAAGAGGAUUCUGGAGGUUUAAUUUGACGGUCGUUGGUGACCGGUGGAUGGCUUGCGUGAAAGAGGAGAGAGAGAGAGAGAGAGAGAGAGAGAGAGAGAGAGAGAGGACGAAGGGGGAAGGGAUGAGGGGGAAAUUGAGGGAAGAGAGAGGAGUUGGACGUUCGUGAAGGGAAGAGAGAUUUUUUAAGUUUUUCUUAUUUUUUUAUAAAUGUGUUUAACUUAUCCUAUCUAAAAUCUGAAGGCAAGCACAAUCCAAACCUCAUUUGGUUUCCUUGCUUGCCCCAUAAAAAUCCCAAAAGUAAAUAUGUAAGGACACAAAACUUACUUUUUAUUUAAAUAUAUUGAACUAAAGGGCACAAUAACCUUUGUCGUGUUUUUGCAAAUUAAUAAAAAAUUUACAAAUCUGACACAUGCAAGGCAGGAUGGACAUAAAGCGCUACUGACAAACAUAUUUUAUAGACACAAAAUCCUUUUUGUGCCCAUCUUAAGUAAAAAAGUACCCUACUCGGCACGGUUUUCGUGCUCAUUACUGUUUUGUAUCUUUUUUUUUUUUAACAUUGGGCACCAUAGAUGGUGCCCUCUAUUGAAUGUGAACUAUUUAAGCUUUUUUGUGGUUAAACUGACACAAAAUUUUCAAUUAUGCCCUUUUUUUUGUACCUAAAGCUCAUUUUUGUUGUAGUGAAUUAUAUAUUUUUAGUUAUCAGGUGAUUAAUUAAGAGUAUUUUGUUAUGAAUAAUUAUUCAGAAUUUUUUUACUGUUAAAUGUGAACUACCUGCCCACGUGCCACCGAUCAAGUACCAUAUAUACAUGAUAGAAAUACAAAAUAUGAGGUGGUUUUGGUAACCCAAUACCAACAGAAAUUACAAAAUACAAAUUUGUUCUUUAGCCAAACGAAUUUCAUUUACCCUAGCGAACACAUGAUGAAGAAUCUUUGAUGGUUGAGUGAGAAAAUCCUUAUAACUAAAUGUUGCAUUAAGCCAUGUUUCUCAUAAGUAACCGGUACAUGUUGUCCUUUAAGAUUGCAUGGUUAGAACACUAAUGCAUGUGAUAAUAAAUAUUACCAUAUUGAAACUCUAACCAGGUGAAGCUCCAGCAGCUAUGGUAUUCGUUGAACCGAGAAGAAGAAACACCAAGUCUUCUACAAACUCCUAGUCAAGAUUGGGUUCAGUUGAGUCCUGAAAUUGAUGAAAUUUUACAGGAUUAGAAUGAAUAAUUAUAAGAUUGGCGAAUGGUUCUUUUUCAAUGGACUAUAAUAUCCCUCAACGAAUGUCAACCUUGUCAAGGAUCCCAUCGCCAACUUAAGCCUUGCUCAGGAGUACCUACUUUGGCACCAACGCCUUGCUAUCCCUCAGAACCAGUGUCCACUUUGUUUCCAAACUUUUGUAAAAACUCACAUGAAUGUGAGACUUGUCAAUUGUCAAAAGCCACCGAACUUCUUUUUGUAUCAUCUAUUUAAGUCUAGAAUCAGUAAGCUAUUUGAGGUUGUUCACUCAUAUAUCUGGAUCACUUUCGUGUAUAAUCAUUUGAUGGAUACAAGUAUUAUGUCAUAUUUGUGGAUGAUUAUUAUAAAGUCACUUGGUUGUAUCUCUUGAAAUUUAAGAGUGAAUUGUUUGAUGUUUUCAAGGAUUGUUACAAUCAAUUUUCAUCUAAAAUAACACUAAGGUACCGUUUGGUACGUAGACAGGACAGGACGGGACGGAACGGAACGAAAUGGAGGUUCGUGUUAUGUUUGGUAUGCAUAGGAUGGAACGGUUCGGAUUUCAUAUUAAAUGACUAACUUAGCCUUGUUUGUACAAUUUCUACAGUGUCGUCGUUUUCCUUCAUUUUCUCGGCAACCAGUCAGACCCCCAAACAAUUACAAGAAGAAAAAAAAUUGACGAAUCAGACCCCCAAACAAUUUCUUUCUCUUCAAAUCAAACACAGAAAAAUCCCAAAAUUCAUUUCAAUCAAUUUCUGUAGCUUCGUCAUCGUCCUCCCUGCAGCGUCGUCAUCAUCCUCCGUGCAGCAUCCACCUUCUUCCCUCCGACCCACCAAACUGUUUCACUCUCUCUCUCCCCAACCUCCCUCUCCAAAUCGAGCGACUCCGUCCUAAUCCAAUGGUUCGGCAUCGAUUCGCCCUCCCGACUCGACUAGCUCGGCAUCUACUCGCCCCCUUCCUCCCACCACGACAACUUUAUAGGAUACAAGUUCCUCUCCUCCACCCCCACAUGGAAAUCUGGGUCGGGCUCCAUUUCCCUCCCUCUGGUCAAUCUUCGAUUCAACUACUCCUUCCAGAUUUUCCGCUGGAACGAGUCUGAGGUCGACCCCAACCACCUCGACCAGGACCACAACCCCCUCCCCGGCACCGCCCACCUGCUCGCCACCUCAGAUGACGAGUUUAGCUUCGAAUCGGGUCAUGUUCCGGAUCAGAUCCACCUCGCUUACACGGACGGAGAUGGCGAGAUGCGGGUUAUGUUCGUGAUGCCAGACGGCGCCGGAGAAGAAGAGGGUUUGCUAUGGUGACGUCGUCGUCGUCGGAUGGGUUUGCUGGGAUUGGGUUAGCAGUUGGGUUACUGGGUUUGUGGUGGAGGAAGAGGAGGGCUACGGGGGAGACAAGGGUAGAAGAGAGGGAGGUUACGGGAGAGAAAGGGAGGUAGACAAUGUAAUUAAUGAAAAAUAAAAGGGGUAUUGUUGUCCAAAAAAAUAUAAUUUUGUGUCCCACGGGAUGGAAAAACCCAUUCCAGGGGGGAGGGGGAACCAAAAUCUAACCCAUUUUCGUUCCAUGGGACGCGCGUUCCACAUAAUUUUAGAGCACCAAAUGUGGGACGGAACGCGUCAGUCCCAUCCCACGUACCAAACGCACCCUAAAGUCACACAAUGGCACUGAGUACACGACCAACAACAUGUCCGACUAUUUGAGCACUCAUGACAUUUUGCACCAAACUAGUUGUGUUGGUACCCCACAACAAAAUGGUGUAGCCAAGAGGAAAAAAAAAAGGCUUGCCGGAGAAAACAAGGUCCCUAAUGUUACAAAUGAAUGUACCCAAGAGGUUCUGGUCCUAAGCACUUACCACUACUACCUGUAGGUUGCCUACUCGUGUGUUAAAUGUCAAAUCACCUUAUGAAAGGGAGAACCAUGGACUUGUCUCAUCUCAGGAUCUUUGGAUGCACUUUCUAUGCACACAUUCAAGCUGCUCAUCCACUACUAGAAAUUUGGCUAUAAGCCACCCUUUUCAUUGGUGGCUAUUGUCAAGUGUUGCCACUCACAUUGGUGGCAAACCUCUAUGGCCACCAAGCACCCACUAAACUAGAGAGUGUGACCAAUGUAGAGGACUCUAUUGUAACAAUGGCUACCAAUAUUGCAUUGGUGGGUAUGUGAACAAUGCCACCCUAAUUCACAUUGGUGGCAAAUUUGCAAAAUAAUAUUAAAAAAAAAAAAGGAUGCCUUAGGGGCACCCAGAUUUGAAUAUAAUAUCUCUUUUUUUUUUUGGUGAGAAAACAAAUUGUAAUAUCAUUGAUAUUAAGAAUAUACUACAAAUCCGCAUAACUGAUCUUUUAUACAAUUUUGAACAAAUGUUGGGACUCAAACUUUGAAAAGUGUUUGAACACUCUGUUUCCAACGAGCUAAAUCAUGUCAAUAACUUGAAUCUGAUCAUUUGAUGCACCCAAAGUCAAAUCCACAAAUUUCAUAAGAAUAAUGUUAACUCAAGUUCAACCGUUAAAGCAAUUAGAGUUGAGGACAUGCAUCACUGAGAUAUGAUCAAAUAAAUACCUGGGAAAUGUAGUUUUUCAAGAGGUUUGCAGUCGUAAUAUCAGCCAUGAAGACUCUCACGUUACUGCUACUGUUGGUUGGAAGGCGCAAGUAACUUUGCCGACAAAAAUUUCUCACAAACCUGUGGAGAUACAAAAUUAAAAAAAAAAAUUGAGCACUAUCCACAGGUAACUAAUAACGAACUAACUAAAUUAAUCUAUGCUCAAAGUGCACAACUAUUAGUUCAGAAUAGUUCAAUUUUCUGCAAGGAAAGGAAAGGAAAGCAAGGUGAAUAACAAAGAGAAACUAAGAUUUGGAGUUAGCUUUAUGAAGAGAUUGCAUAUAACAUAAAAAUGAAAUAAGAUGAACCAAAACACAAUAAUUAAAAAUGGAUUUCAUGACAAUACUAACAGAGUAAUUAGAGAGUAGUAGCAAGCAAGGAUGAUAGAUGCCAUUACCAGAGCUCAAAACAGGGGACUCUAUUCUUAUCGUUGCCAUGAUCUCAAUCAACUUUCUCUAACCUAGAAACAUAAUAAAAACAGCAAAUCAACUUUCCUUAACCUUGAAGCAUAAUAUUUCAAGCAUAAGACAAACACUAAAAUCCCCAGAAAGUAAUAAAUAGCAUUCCAGUUUCUAGUCUCUGAACAUAGAGUACACCAAGAGCUCUCAGACAUUACAAAGUAAUCACACAUAUUAAAUAGUAUUCAAUGUAGAUGCAUACACAUCAUACAUGUAUGCAGCCCAGUUUAUAGACAAACAACAAAUAACUAUCACACUCACAAUUACAAAUAUCAAAUUGACCUCAAUAAUAUACGAUAACUAUUACGAGGAACACGUUCGAUUUAAUUUCCAAAGUUACACUUUAAAGCCCAAAACAUAUAAAUUUUUUUUUCCUUAUUUUUUUUCAUUUAUGUGUAUAAACAACCAACCAAAUUGUUUUACCUUAAAUCAUCAAGAGAAACCUAAGCAGCCGAGAAAAUAAUUCCAACCUGCAAGUUCAUACCAAACAAAAAAAAUUCUGGAAAAAAUAGACCAAAUAAUUAAAAUACCUACACAUGUAUAAAUUUAUCAGGUGAAUAAUUUCAACAAUUAUCCAGAAUAAAAAAAUUAAAAAAAAAAAAUGAAUUUUACCCAAACAGAG